This 59713-nucleotide long non-coding RNA is filed under the name Vitis vinifera (wine grape). RNAcentral's name for it is "long non-coding RNA (VVIN_LNC002254)". Lineage: Eukaryota; Viridiplantae; Streptophyta; Magnoliopsida; Vitales; Vitaceae. The record is from RNAcentral.
UUAAUUCUUGGUGGAACCGACACUUCAGCAGCAACAAUGGAAUGGGCAAUGACUCUUCUCCUCAAUCAUCCGGAUGUUUUGGAGAAAGCUAAAGUAGAGUUGGAUAUGCAUGUUGGAAAGGACCGCUUGAUAGAAGAAUCUGAUCUUCCCAAACUGCGGUACCUUCAAAGUAUCAUUUCUGAAACUAUGAGAGCAUUUCCUGUGGGCCCUCUUUUAGUGCCCCAUAUGUCCUCAGAUGACUGUCAAAUAGGGGGUUUUGAUAUACCACGAGGCACAUUAUUAUUGGUAAAUGCAUGGGCCCUUCACAGAGACCCUCAGGUGUGGGAAGAUCCUACAAGUUUCAAACCUGAAAGGUUUGAAAAUGGAGAACGUGAGGAUUACAAACUAGUACCAUUUGGAAUAGGAAGAAGAGCCUGUCCUGGAGCUGGCCUUGCUCAGCGAGUGGUGGGUUUGGCUUUGGGGUCGUUGAUUCAGUGCUAUGACUGGAAGAAGAUAAGCAACACCGCUAUUGACACCACUGAAGGGAAAGGGCUCUCCAUGCCCAAACUGGAGCCAUUGGAAGCCAUGUGUAAGGCACGUGAGAUUAUAAACCAGGUUCACUAGAACUAGAGAACAAUAUUUAGUUGGUAUUGGCACUCUGGUCAUUUGCUUGUAUUGUUGCAAUAAGCAUUCUCGGAUGCAUUUCGAGUAUCGUGCCCGUUAUAAAUAUGUAUUACGUGCUAAGAUUGUCGUUAUAUCAAUUUGUCAAAGCUCAGAGACUUUCUUAAAUUAUUAAAAAAAAUAAAAUUGAACUGUUAGAUGAUAAUGGACUAACAAUGUGUCAAAUUGACGAUCAUUCUAACUUUGUCUGAUUCAUACUAUAUCGUUUUUCCGACUUGAAAAAUCUCCCUCCAUUAUCCUCUCCCAUGAAUUUAAUUUCACAUCACUUUUCAACCCAAAAGUUGAAGCUCAACGCCAUGAUUAUCACGUUGAUCUAGCUGCAAUCUAAGAGGACUAUGUACCGUUUUUGUGGUAGUUCACAUUCCUCCAAAUGUGUGCCUGGGAGAGAUUAUCUCUCCUUCCAUAUUACUUCCACUUUAUCUAUUCCUAUUGCAAUAUGAUGCAACUCUAUCACAAGAGUUUACUCAAUAUAAGACAAACUCUCUGAUUGCUUAAUAUUUUUUGUAUUAAAAAGAAUAGUUCACACCUCAUUCAUAAUCAAUUAUUUAUUGAAAGUGUAGUCACCAGUGUCUGAUGUGAUUUUGGUAGGGCUGUCAAUAAAAUAAUAAUUUUAUCUUCAUCAUUAAUCUUUAACUUUUAUUCUCAAGUUAUACACUUCUUAAAUUUAUUUAUAUGAUGUUUAAGAUUUGUUUUUCCAUCAUUUUGAACUCAUAUGAUUACUUCUUCAAAUAUAAUUUAUUUGUUAAAGAUUUCAAAAUAUAAGUUUUUUUUCUAAUUUCUGUCGUAAAUUAGAAGGAGAUCUUUUAAUUUAUUCAAAAUACUAUAUUUUAGUUGAGGAGUUAGGCUUAAAUUAAUAGCACUUACUGCUUUUACUUUAAUUAUUCCCAUUGUUCAUCCACUGUGCUCUUUGGUUUCUUACCUUGUAACGCUUUAAGAAGUCCUUAUUGUACCAAAAUAUAUAUAACCAUACUUUGCCAAAUGCUGAGAUGAUUUUUUCCAUCAAAUGACUUACUAUCAUAUUUUAUACCAAACAUCAUCUUCAAAAUAUUUUUCCUCGGUUUUCAUACUACGACUCUAGUACCUCUUAUUGUAAAAAAUCAUAAUACCCAAAUGCAUUUUGAAAAAUAAAGAAAAUAAAAAAGAUAAAAGAUUUACGUUAUUUAGUAUAAUUGUCUACACCUAUUGGAUAGGAAGAUUAAAUUUAUUAAUGGUCAUGAAAAUGAAUUAAAAGAUAUGAAUAACGAACAUUAUUUUUUCUCCAUAUUUUUUUUUCUUUUUUCUUUCACGAUAAAGAAUUUUAAAACUCUUUACUAUUUCUCAACUAAGCGAAAAAACUCACCACUUUAACUAUGAAAUAGUGUUAAGUGAGGAUAUGACAAGGUCAAAUAAUGGUAAAUAGUGAAUCUCAUGUUUUUAAAUUCUUUUUUUAACAUUGUUGGUUAGUUCUAAAUCAAAAUAUUGACCUGAACUUUAUUAUUAGAAUAACAAUAAAACUAUAUUCAAAUGACAUCUAAAAUGUUUUGAAAACAAUUUAAAUUUUAUAAAUUAAAUACUUUUAGAUGCAUAAGAAUGCUAAUAUCUAAUUUUCAAUAUAUUCAUGAUUAAAAUAAUUAUAUUUAUAUAAAUAUUAUUAUUUAGAAAUAAUAUGUAAGUCAAUUAAUUGAUAAUAUUAUUAUUUAUAAAUAAUAUAUCCACAAUAAUUAAAAUUAUUAUUUAUAUAUUGAAUCUAGUACAUAAAAUUGAAUAAUUUUAUAAUAAUGUUGACCCACGUUUUUCACGUACGUCCCCACUCAAUGGCAAUACUUACUUUUUAUUUAUUUGGUGAAAAAUAUUAUUUUUAGAAAAGACUUGGACUAGCUACUUAUUUUUAUUUUAUUUUUGAAGGAAAAAACAAAAUAAGAAAUAAAAACCCUAAGUGUUACUCUUGAAGAAAAAACAGGUAUAUGAAAAACUGAAUCUGGUUCUGGGGAUCAAGUUACCUAUUGGGAAGGUACGAUGGUGAGUCGUAGCACCCCCCUCUAAACCCGUAUAGUACGGUCUCUAUUAAACGAAUUAAGAAAAUUGUAGUAAUUAAUUAAUUAAUCAUAGAUACCAAGAUUAAAGGAAUAAGACAAUAUACAUAAAGAUGACAACAAAAUAAAAUUACAAGAAUGUACAAAUUAAAGACAAUAGAAUUAUGCAAAUUGAUUUAUUGGACUAAUUAAAAAAAAUAUUUGAAAAAAAUUAGUUUUCCGAAAAUUUUAAAGGAUUUUAUUAAAAACAAUUUUGAAUGAGUGAUUUCAAUUUAUUUAUUUAUAAAAUAUUUUCUUCAAGUGAUUUGAUUCAAUUUCAUUUAUAUUUAAUUUUCAGAAAAAUUUAUUUACACUUAUUGUAUCAAAAAAAUUUAUUCCAAAUUUCAAUUUGGCAACAAAAAUUAUUUUUACUUGUUUUUACAAAAAAAUAAUGAAUUUUUACAAUUUUAUUUACAAAAAUAUUUCAAUUUGUUUUCAUUUAAGAAAAGUGAUUUAUACAAAUUAUUUAAAAAUAUAUAACUUUAUUUGCAAAUAAUUUUUAAUUAAAAAUAAAAAUAAAUCCUCUAUUUCAAAAAAAUACUUUUAAUCCCAUUUUAAUUAAGGAAAAAUAAUUCAUUUAAAAAAACAUUUUUUUGGAUAAUUUUAUUAAAAAUUAAUUUUUGGGACAACUUUAUUUACAAAAUAAUUUUUCAAAUUCUAUUAAUUUUUUUUUUUGGGAUUUUUCUAAAAGAAUUUUCUGAAUUUUUAUUUAAAAAAACUUUAUUUUAUUAAUAAUAAUAUUUUAAAAUUAUUAUUAUAUUAAAACAUGUUUACUGAAUUGUUCUUCUUAUUUAAACAAAAUUUCUGGUUUGUUCGAUAUCUAAUUUUGUACAUAAUAAGUAAAUAUAUAUAAACAAAUAUUUACAAAAACUAAUAAAAAUAAAAUAAAAUAGUAGUGGGAAAUAAAACGUAUACCUAAAUAAACUUACAACAAGUUCAAUGUCUUCCUACAACUUUUUGAGUUUCACUUUAUUUCAUGAAAUUUCAUGUUCCAUAUGUUAUAAAUUCGUAUUCAACUAACAAGAUUGUAGAAUAAGUCCAUGCAAAAACAAAAAAAAAACCUAAAUGUAAAUAUUUAGAGAUGUACAAAAUUCCAAACAAAUAUUCAAACCCAAAUUCAAAUUUCAAAUUAGUCCCAUAAAUUUUGCCAAUUAAAAUGAGCUCAAAUUACAAUAGGUCUUAGUCCAAAAUAUCCAAAUUAAUAACCAAAAAUAUAAAUACAAUCAACCAAACCUAAAAUUGGAUAAAUUAAAAUAAAUUUUACUAGGCCUAAAUUUAAUAUUCCAUAAUUUAAGCCUAAUUUAAUAAACACCACAAUUGUCCCAUGUCUAAAUUAAAUAGUUCAAAUUGGCAAAACCUAUAUCAAAUAUUCAAGUCAUCCAACAAAUCUCAUCCACAUUGUGGACUUAAAAUUUAUAUAAAUUAACAAGGUCACAUUAAUAACAUACAUGACCAAAGGAAAUAAUAUCUCAAGUCCAAUCUAAUAAGCCCAAACAAAUAACCAAAUAACAAGCCCACAUUAAUAAUAUACAUCGUUAAAGGAAAUUAUAUCUCAAACCUAAUCCAAUAAACCCAAACAAAUAACCAAUAAGCAAUAGACUUAAGUUUAAAUCAAUUAUUGUGCAAAAAAAAAAAAAAAAAAAAAAGAUAAAAACAUGAAAAUAAAAUAAUGUAAAAAAGAAAUUUACCAAAUUUUUUUUUAAAGAAUUAUGGAUGGCCCGAUUGCUAGCUGGCAAUGGCGGGCGAUGGUUGGUGGUGAUCGACAAUGGCGGUGAGGGUGGUGGAUGGAGAGAGAAUGGGUAUGGUGAGAGGAUAGUAGAAAAUAAUAAUAAUAAUAAUUAAAAGAAAUGAAAGAAAAGAAAAUGACAAGGAAUCAAAAGAAGGGUGUUUAGGGAGGGAAAAUGAGGGAAGGAAGAAGCCGAAAAAAAUCCGGGCUCUGAGUGUUUUUUUUUUUUUUUCCUCCAGUCCAUUGUGAGUGAGAGGGAGCCCCCAAAGAGAGCUGCCAAUGGGAAGGAAAAAGCCCAAAGUAAAAAUGGAAAAAGAGAAGAGAGAUGAGAGAGAAGAGAGGAGAGGGAGGUAUGGAUUGGGGUGGUUGGGGGAAGGUUGGAAGAGAGAGGAGAGAGGGGAGAGAAAAGAAAAAAAAAAAGAGAAAAAAAAAGAAAAGAAAAAAAAAGAAAAAGAAAAUAAUAAUAAUAAUAAUAUACACAAUAAUAAAAAUUAAUAAUUAGAUGAUGAAUGAGUUAAAAUAUUAUAUAUAAUUGGGAUUUAAAAUUUAAAGAUAAAAUUGAAUUCAAAAUUAAUAUAAAAAUAAAAUUGAGAUAAAUUUUUGGUUCAACAAAUAUAUAUAUUUUAAAUAAUUUUAUUGUUAUAAAAAUAUAGUCUCAAACCAUAUUAGCAUUACUACAUUUUUUAGAAUUAUUUUUUUUAAAAAAAAUCGUAUUUUCAAAAAUAUAUAUAUUAUUAGUUUAAAAAUAAGAAACAUCUUUGUAAGAAAUUAUUUUAACAUAAUUGUAUUUUUUAUCUUUUAGAGAAAACUAAAAUAGUCUCUUCAAGGAUGAUUUUUGUCUCAAGAUUUUUUUUAUUUAAAAAAUCUUCUCUUAAAGAAAUAAUUUUACUUAAAAAAAAUAGAGAUACGAAACAAAAUAAGUUCGAAAAAAAAAACUUAGAAGUGAUAUUUUAUCAAAUAAAAAAAAUGUACAUCAUUCUCCAAGUAUCUAAAAUAUAACCCAAGUGUCAAAUUAAUCCAAUUCACCACCAAUUAUUCCAUAUUAAAUUAAAUUCAUCAUCACUUUUCCAAACAUUCACCAACAUAUAUUAUAUGUUUAGAUUACAACCAAAAAGGCCUGAUCAUCCAACCAUGCCCCAAUUAAUACCAGAAUAAAUCAUAAGCAAGUUGGUCAGAAACAGAGCAUAUUUCAAUAACACAUAAAAACAAAUAUAAUUAACCUAUUUAGAAGCAUGAUAAAAUUCUACCAAAAUUCACACAAUUAAUUCAAGAUGUCUACUUUAUAGAAAAAAUUACAGAAUAAUUAAAUCACAUAAGAAUGAUUUUUAAAAUAAGACAAAUAGACCCUGAUUGCAGAAUAGGUCAAUGUAGUAAGUGGAAAAAUAAUUUUUUUCUCCUACUUUGGGAAUCAUUUUUUAACAAAUCAAGAAUAUAAAGUAAUUAAGAAGCUUAGAUUAAAUAAAAAAUAUCAAAAAAGAAAAGAAAAGAAAAAGAAAUAACUUAUUUUUUCACAAUCAACUCAGUGUUCAAAACAAUGUCAGAUUGGGGCAUGUGUAAAAACUAACUUAGUUCUCGUAAUUGGAAAAUGAUUUUAAGCCCGAUCAAAAUUUAAUUAACAAGUUUAAGAAGUUGAAUUUUUUUUAGAAAAACCCUAAACCAUUUGUUUUUUAUGGUUAGAAAUACAUCAAACAGUGACAUUAGACUUUUGAGAAUUUAAAGUAUGUAGGGCUCACAAAAUCCCUAUUUACUAUACACUAGUUUAAUUUAUGUAUCCUCAACCUCAUAUGAACAUUAGUAAGUUCAUCAAGCUUAAGAAUCAUUCCAUUUUUAUUUGAAACCAUGAACUUUGAUUUGUGUUUCAAAAAAAUGAAAUUCAUUUUAAAAAAAAAUAAUGAAAAGAUGCAUACGGUUAAAAAUUGGUUGCAUGUCCUUUCAUAUACAAAAAAUUUAAACCCUGGUGACCCAAGAUAAUAUUGUUAAGAAAAGUUUAAAUUUUUUUUUUUUUUUUUUGGAAAAGGUUAUGGUCACCUAUCUUAUAUAAAUAACAAACCUAACCCUAACCCUAACAGACACCGAUCAAUAAAUAAAAUAUAUCAACUUCAUACAUAACCAUAAUUAAUAAAUGAGAUCAAACAUGUUAUUACAAAAAAAUGUUUAAAUUGAUAAUCAAUUAAUUUUUUUUUAUAAAAAAAUAUACAAACUAAUUAUUGAUCAUCAAAACAAUCUAUUAAAGAUUUUUUAAAAAUAAGUUAACAUGUGAUCAUCAAAACAAACAACUAAUAACUUUAUACAUUAGGUAAUGGGCUAUGUCCAUGACUUUCAUCCAACCCAAAUAAUAAAAAAGGAGAAUAUACUAUUUAUGACAUAGCAUUUAAAGGAUAUGGUUUUUUUUCCUCAAAAGAAGGAUUGAAUCAGAUUUCGUGAAAUAGGAUAUUCCAAUGUAACGAACCAAAAAAAAGACAAAUCUUGUCAAGACAACGAGAAGUAUACAUCAAUGAAAAAAAAAAUUUAACACCCAACUUAAAAAUUUAUAUAGUUUUGACAGUAUCAUGACAAGUUAAAAUAACCUAAUUAAAAAAUUUGUAGACAGAGAGUGCUGAUUUCGCCGGUCUUUGUAAAUCUGAUAGCAUGAGCUGGCAUCUUGACCUGCACCCAUUAACAAAUAAAUGUUAUACUAAUAUUGGCUCUGUCAUCAACAACCUAAGAGUUAAAAUAAAGAAAAAAGAAUACUGGUGUCAUCCACCUAAUUUCAAAUAUGAUAAUGAUAUCCACUUUCGCCUUCUACUAAGAUAGAAAUUAUAUAUAAUUAUUAGAUUAGAAACAUCUCAUAUAUAUUAAUUCCAACUCUUUCAUCUACACCUUGAAUAAAGAAAUUCUUCAUUUUAUCGAAUGUCUUUGAUACAUCCUUAUAUUUCUUUUUACUUUAUAUUAUAUUUAUGAAAUCAUUAUCUUCAUCUCAUAUCUUUUUCCGCUCAUAACUUAAAAUAUCAAACCUACCAUACAACUGAAAUAAUAAAAAACUCCAUCAAUGAGGUCUCAUUUCAAACAAAUUGGAAUGGCAGUUUUCAAACAAAUUGGAAUGGCAGAUGUAUUCUAUUAUUGAGGUCUCAUUUCAAACAAAUUGGAAUGGCAGUUUUCAAACAAAUUGGAAUGGCAGAUGUAUUCUAUUAUUGGUGGGCCUCAGAGGAAUUUUAACAUUUCAGCAUUGGGCCUCCUAUGCAGCCAAGUCGUCAUGCUAUCAUUUAAGAAAGCUCUUCCUGCAGUCUGCGUUAUGGAAGAGGAGCUGCACUCCACUGCCUACACUGCCAUUGAUAACCAGUUGGUGGCAUUGAGAUUCUUCACAAAAGAUGGGCAAGAUCUAGAAGAUAAUAGUACUGCUCAUUGAGAUUUACCCAAAAAGAAAAAAGAAAAAGAAAUGAAGAUAAAAAAGAGAAAAUUGGGAUUCUUCAUUUUUAUAAUUGGUACAAAUUAAUAAAAUAUAAUUUCAUGGCUCACGAAAGCGAAACAAAACCACAGAUGCUUUUUUGCAUGUUAACAAUCUAGAACACCUAAGCAAAGAUAUAUCAUAAACAAAUUUUGGCUUUAUCAGGACUCUUAACAGCCUUCAGAUCUGAACCCAUCUUUCUCUUAUGUUUGUCAUCAACACAACCAUGGAAAUUACAUGGCUAAGCACAUCUCUAUGUCUUCUCUUUCUCUCGUUUGCUUUCAAUAUCUUCCUCCAAAGAAGAAGAAUACAUCCCCACCUCCCACCAAGCCCGCCUGCUAUUCCGAUUCUUGGUCACCUCCAUCUCCUCCUUAAACCACCAAUUCAUCGGCAAUUACAAAGUCUUUCUAAAAAAUAUGGUCCUAUCUUCUCCCUUCGCUUCGGAUCCAGUCCUGUUGUUAUCAUAUCCUCUCCGUCCACUGUUGAAGAAUGUUUCACUAAGAACGACAUCAUUUUUGCCAACCGGCCUCGCUGGCUGAUCGGCAAGUACAUAGGCUACAACUACACCACUAUUGCUUCAGCAUCAUAUGGCGAACACUGGCGCAAUCUCCGCCGCCUCAGCGCACUGGAAAUCUUCUCCUCAAAUCGCCUCAACAUGUUUCUAGGCACUCGCAGGGAUGAAAUCAAGAUUUUACUACACCGAUUGUCUCAGAAUUCAAGGGACAAUUUUGCAAGGGUAGAGUUGAGACCAAUGUUUACAGAGCUAACAUGUAAUAUUAUAAUGAGAAUGGUUACAGGAAAGAGGUACUAUGGGGAAGAUGUGGAUAGUGAGGAAGCCAAGCGUUUUCAGAAAAUAAUGAGAGGGAUUUUUGAACUGGCUGGGGCAUCAAAUCCAGGAGAUUUUUUGCCUUUACUACGGUGGGUUGAUUUUGGGGGUUAUGAGAAGAAGUUGGUGAAGCUCAAUAGAGAGAAAGACGUGAUCUUCCAAGGUCUUAUUGACGAGCAUCGAAGUCCUGACCAGGGUCUAGUGAAUAAAAACAGCAUGAUCGAUCAUCUGCUUUCACUGCAAAAAUCAGAACCAGAAUAUUACACAGACGAAAUCAUAAAAGGGCUUGCACUGGUGAGUGAACUUCUGUGUUUUGUUUUUUUUUUUUUUGUUUUUUGUUUUUGAGUGUUUAUACUAGUGUUGGUGUGACAUGUGUGGUUUAAUUUUUCUCAAAUCUAUAAAUAUUGAAUGGCACAGAUCUUAACUUUUGCUGGUACUGACACUACUGCGACGACAAUAGAAUGGGCUAUGUCUCUUCUACUCAAUCAUCCUGAUGUUCUGAAGAAAGCUAGAGCAGAAUUGGACACUCAUGUUGGAAAAGAUCGUUUGAUGGAAGAAUCAGACUUCCCCAAAUUACAAUAUCUUCGAAGUAUCAUUUCUGAGACGUUAAGAUUGUUUCCGGCUACCCCACUCUUGAUACCACAUAUUUCUUCAGACAAUUGCCAAAUUGGAGGAUAUGAUAUCCCAAGAGGCACAAUAUUAUUGGUCAAUGCUUGGGCCAUUCACAGAGACCCUAAGUCGUGGAAAGAUGCUACAAGUUUCAAGCCAGAGAGGUUCGAAAAUGGGGAAAGUGAGGCAUACAAGCUAUUGCCAUUUGGCUUCGGAAGAAGGGCUUGCCCUGGUGCUGGCCUGGCUAAUCGAGUGAUAGGUUUGACUUUGGGGUUAUUGAUUCAGUGUUAUGAGUGGGAGAGAGUUAGUGAGAAGGAAGUUGACAUGGCUGAAGGGAAAGGAGUCACCAUGCCCAAAUUAGAGCCAUUGGAAGCCAUGUGUAAAGCUCGUGCUAUUAUCAGAAAGGUAUUAUAAAACAACGAAGAGACAUCUGGUUGAUGUUAGCAUUAUUGUCAUAUAUUUGUGUCGAUACAUUUUAUCAGUGUGCUCAUCGUAUGUAUUUGUUAUGUUAUUUUAGCUAGCCUAGUCUAAAAAUAAAAGAUUAUGAUUAUGUAAGCUUUUUUUGUAAUUUUUUUCUAAUCUAAAUGAGCAACUUUGUUAUAUAGUUUUCAUGCCAAAAAUAUUAAACAUUCAUCAUAUACAAUAACCUGAAUUGAAUAAUUAUAGAUAUUUCAUCAAUUAUUCCCAUUACCAACUAUUUUUAAAAAAUAUGUUAAAGCUUGCAAUCCUUGCAGUCCUUGCUUCUCGAAAGGCAGUUAAAUUGCCUACAAUUAUUCCAUGUUACUCAUUGCCUACAAUUAUACCAUGUUACUCAUCCUUAGCACAUUAUGGUGACCCGAUAGGGCAAUCUCCCCCACCUUGGCUUUCUUGAAAUGUUCCCUUCAAAUUGUCUAAACAUGCUUUUGGGUUUCAAGAUGCAAUGGCUUUUUCCCAAAAAGCUUUUGGAAGUGUCUUGGCCUUUAACACGUUUCUUGUCAUCUAUACUACGGUCAUGUUCUUCUUUUUGCUUAUACCCUUUCAUUGAGAUGUAUAGUUAAUUGUUAAUUAUUAUAAAAUUCAUUGACGGUAAAUCCUCCUCCUAUAAUUAUCAAAUUCUAACAUAUUAAUAUUGCAAUUAUUUUGUCUUUCAAUAAGAAUUUUGAAAUCUUUAAGCUUGCUAAAAACCUUAUAUUUUUCUAUUAACAAAUAAAUCCAAGUUUUUCUUAUAAAAUCAUUUAUAAAGGUCAAUAUAUAUUUGUUAUAAUUAAGAGAUUUUAUCUCAUCAAAUCAUAUACAUAUGCACCAAAUCUAAAGGUUUAGUUCUUUUGGAUAUUCUAAUUGAAAAAUAUUUCCUAUGUCGUUUCCUAAGGAGACAUUUGUUAGAAAAAUUAGGUUAAUCCAACUUAUGGUAAUCACUUUAGAGGGGGGUGAAUAGAGUGAUGGUCUCUUUUUGCAAAUUUAAACUAUGUGAAUGUUAGAGACAAAUAUACGUAAGUAUUUAAUAAAACGAUAUAAAGACAAUUGCAUAUAAAGUAAAAGAGUAGGGAAGAGAGAAUGCAAACACAAGAUUUUAUAGUGGUUUGGUGCAACCUGACCUACAUCCACUCUCCUCUAACUUCAAUCCCAAGCUUGAGGUUCCACUAGUUCAAGGCUUCCAAAUCAAGCUUUCAAGCAAUACAAUUGGAUUAUGGUUCCAAUCCACCAUUUUGGACUUUUGGCUCCAAGUACCCUUUACAAUCCUCAAGAGAUACCCCACUCGUGAACAACCUCUCAAGUGCUACCCCACACUUGAGAAUCUUCAUCUCAAAGAUAUACAAAUAAUUGAUCUUACAAAAUCCUAGUACAAAAAUUUUAAGUUCAAAUGAUACAAGAAAUCUGGGAUUGAAUGGUGCACUAAUGAUAUGCAAAUUUUAGAACAAUGGUGCACUCAAAACACUCUUCCAAGGCUCAAAUAUAUUCAAGAAAGGUUUGGGAAGGUUGAGUUUUUUAACAAUGAAGAUUUGGAGCCUUUUUAUAGAAGAAAACGACCAAACUAGUUGUUAGGGGUUCGAUUGGUCGAGCUAGGGGUCAACCGGUUCACUAGCCGUUGGAUCAUUUAAUGCUUUGGCAGUUACCGUUGCUUCAACCGGACCUCGAUCGGAGGUCGACCGGGAAGGAAAGACUACUGGAAGAGAGAGAUUUUUUUUAGCACUCCUCGAUCGGGUAAAGGGAACCGAUUGACCGGUACCCUAGCCGGUUGAGUUGGUUGGCCUAGUGCCUUGACCGGUUCAACGUUUUGGCCUAGAAAACCAAUUUUUUCAAUUUAAAACCUUUUAAACAAGUUAGAAAAACAUUUGAUACAAGGUUUUAGUUGAAAACAUGAAAUCAUCAAAUUUUAAAAUAUUUAAAACAAAAUAACUCUUGGAUGAUUUUGGUGUAUAAGUAAAGAAUGUAAUGCAUGAAAAUCCUAGUGCACCAACAAUAUUACAAAGAGAUCUUAUGACGCUUGGGUCUUAAAAAAAACUUCUCUUUGAGGUGGUUUUCUUCUUCAUGAUUUCUCUUUGGCUUGAUUUGUCUUUGUGAUUGCCAUUUUGGAAAUCGUUUUACCUAAUCACACUUGAAAUAUAAUUAUUAGUUCUAAACCUUGUUUUGUUAUCAUCAAAAUUGAGAUUAACCAAACCUUGGUCUCACAACAUUCUUCAUAAACAUGAUAUGGAUCAUCAAUUAGUGAUAAUCCUAUUACCAUAUUCAUAUGCACCAAGAACUUUAACCCAUGAAACAAAAGGGAAGAUGUCAAAGCCAAUUGCAAUCUUCUACUAUUGCCUUCAAAUAAAAUGAAGUUUUGGUUGGAAAAAGAUAGGAAAUAUCAUAUUUUGUCUUCUACAUAUUUGAAAUCAUCUUCUUAUUUUUAUCAUUAAGAGUACAAACUCCAUUAAAAAUAUUAAUGGUAUGUUUUUUAUUUUAUUUUAUUAAUUGUCCCAUGAUAAACAAAUUCUAAAAAAAAUCUAAUACAAAAAAUAGAUCUACUACGGUAACAUUAGUGACAUAUUUAAAUGUAUUUUAAUAUUAUCUUUACCCAUGAUUAAGACUUUAAAUUUACUUCCAAAAUUAACUUUUCAUUUAACCGAUUCAUCAGAUUGCAAAAACAAUUUUUUCUUAUCACACAUGUGAUUGUUGCGUUUUGUAUCAAAGAACCAAACAUCUUUAUGGUUUAUGUUUGAUGUUGUUACAUUAUAGACCAAUGUCAAAUUCUACUCAACCUCAAUGGUGUUUGUCAACUCUAUUGUUCAUUCUAUAAUUUCAUUCGACAUUUUGAAUCGUAGUGUCCAUACCACUUACAUCUAAAACAUUAUAGGUGUGACUUGUCUUUAGAUCCAAGAAUGUUGAUCAUUCCUUUAGAAUAAUUUUUAUUAUAUCUCCAUCUCUAUUGUUGGAGUUGUUGUGUCCUCCUCUACAUCCAUAAUCAUGACCUUUGCUACUUUAUUGAUCCUCAUGACCUCUUGUAGAUGUUUUACUUUUCAAGGCUUACUCCAAACUAGUAGAGUCAAUUAUUUUAUUCAUCCAUUAUUCAUGUGACUACAUACGCUCAUCAACCCUUCAAUUGUAAAAGUUAAGAUAUUUCUUUUUUCUUCAUUCGUUACAACAACAUAUUCAAAUUUUGCAUGUAAAAAUCGUAUGUAUGACUUUCUCUUAUAUUUUUUAAUCAUCAAGCCUUUCACCAUUAACCCACAUCUAGUUUAUAAGUACCCAAUCAAAAUAAUGUGAAAUCAAUUUAGAGCCAUUGAUAGGGAGAGACUUGAAUUCACAUCUUAAUGUUCGUAGCGCCAUUCACUUGACAUGAUCAUUACUUUAAUUUAUAUAAUUUGUGUAGAUUAAUCUAUACCUUUAUUUAUUUAUUUUUAUGCUUCUACUUUUGAAAUUUUCUUAAGUAUAUAUUCAUUUACUGCUUAGAAUAUUACAUAGAGUGCUUUUUGAUAUUUCUUUUUUGAGAAUCUUUCAAUAAGUCUUUUUACUCCUUUGACAGUGCCUCAAAUUCUUUUGAAUCAACCACUUUGUUGUAGUCGUGAUCCAUUAGACCCUAUAAAUCUUAAGAUCUAAAUAAGACACACAUUUAAUGCACUAGUUACUAAAAUUCUUACUUGUGAAUUUUAAGAGUUAAGGUUGAAUUGAUCUAUAAUUAUUUAUUGUCAUAAUAUCACUGACCAAAUUGUAAUUUUCUUGUUAUAUAUUUUGCAUAUUCUUAAGUAUUAUGGUACUUAUCUUCUCACUUUUCACCCUCCGUAAUCUUUUGGCUUUGAUAUGAACAAGGCUUUUAUUCUUAUACCACUUGUUGGUAGCUCUACUCUUCUAGCCUUUCAUCUUCCUUGAUCUUUUAUUGUUUGUACAUUUUUUUCAACAUAAUAAACUAAUCAUAUUUACACUAUACUUCCAAUUUAUAAUUAAAAAAAAAAGGUUUGAGAGUUGAAUAGCUAUGUAUCCAUGUAAACUUUGUUGCAAUGUAAUUAAUAAAUAAGAGUUAAUAUGAUUCAAACUAUCAUUAUAACUCAGAGUGAAAAGAAAAAAAGAAGAAGCUUCAAGCCAAGAUAAUAAGAGAAUGAAAUUGAGAUGAAUACCAAUAUUUGUUAUAAGUGAAAAAAAAAUAAUGAUCUAAGAAAGUCUCUUGCUCUUCAAAUUGAUAAAUGGUAGUUUUUUUCAUUCAUACUUUCAUUCGUUCAUGUACAGAGUAUAUAUAGAGGGUAAUCACCAUUCUAAGAAUGGGAAAGAAUGAUACAACGAAAGAAUGAUAUAAGGAAAUAACAACUAAUAUCCUAAUAUAUCAAUUUUCCUAAUAUCUCAAUAUUCCUAAUAUCUCAAUAUUCCUAGUAUCUCAAUAUUCCUAAUAUCUCAAUAUUCAUAAUAUCUCAACUUUCCUAAUAUCUAAACAUUCCUAAUAUCUCAACACUAAAUGAUAUAAGGAAAGAAUGAUAUAAGGAAAGCAUUCCUAAUAUCUCAACACUCCCCCUCAAGUUGGUGCAUAGAUGUCACACAUGCCCAACUUGUCUAAAAAUUUUGAGAACACUUAACUUGAGACAGCUUUGGUAAGGAUAUCGGCCAAUUGAUCUUCUGAUCGAAUCUUAGGCAAUUCCACAAUCUUAUCAUCCAACUUUUCCUUAAUGAAGAAUCUAUCCACCUCGACAUGCUUUGUACGAUCAUGUUGUACUGGAUUAUGAGCAAUGUNNNNNNNNNNNNNNNNNNNNNNNNNNNNNNNNNNNNNNNNNNNNNNNNNNNNNNNNNNNNNNNNNNNNNNNNNNNNNNNNNNNNNNNNNNNNNNNNNNNNUUUUCACAUCGAAUUGUUGUAAUGGCCAAUCUAGGUUUGCAGCUAAAGACAAUAAUACUCGAAUUGUGUUGAUCUUAGCUACAGGUGCAAAUGUCUCUGUGUAGUCAAUUCCAUAAGUUUGAGUGUACCCUUUUGCUACCAGUCUUGCUUUAAAUCAUUCAAUACUACCAUCUGCCUUGUACUUCACAGUAUAGAUCCAACGACACCCAACUGGCUUCUUUCCUGGUGGACAUUCUACGAGUUCCCAUGUUUCAUUCUUCUGCAAUGAUUUCAUCUCUUCAUUCAUGGUUGGUUUCCACCUUGGAUCAGCUAAGGCUUCCUGCACACUGUUAGGAAUAGAUACAGUAGAUAAUUGAUUUACAAAUGACUUAUUUGAUUUAGACAAACGAUGGGUAGACACAUAGUUGCUCAUGGGAUAUUUGACUUUAGUAGACAAUUCAGGUUCAUAUGUGGGUUUAGGAAUACCUCUAUUAUGACGAUGUGGUAACCGUUUCAUGAAUGGAUCAGGUUCCAAAUUAAGAACACCCUCAACAGACGACGAUUGGUUUGGUAUUUCAGUGAAGACAUCUUCGGACCCAAAUUGUUGACCACUCAUAUCCAACUCACCCACUUCCUGGUUCACUAGUUCAGAUUGUCCAGAUUCAUAUUCCUCAGAGAUAUGAUAAUCAUAAUCGAGAGUCUGAAUUUCUUUAUGAUACUCCCCCUGAAGUUUAGACUCAGAUGAAAAAUACAUUGAAUCUUCAUGAAACACCACAUCCAUUGUAAUAUACAUUUGUUGAGUUGGAGGAUGGUAACAUCGAUAUCCCUUUUUGUGCAAUGCAUAUCCAACAAACACACAUUGCAAUGCAUGGGAAGUUAACUUGGUGCGUUGGUGCUUGUGUAGAUGCACAAAUGCCACGCAACCAAAAACACGAGGAGGUAGAUUUGGGACGGUUGGGGCAACUAUGACAUUAGUAAGAGCUUGGAGAGGUGUUUGAAAGUUAAUUGAGCUAGAAGGUACCCGAUUGAUCAAGUAUGUGACAAAUGUGAUUGCUUCUCCCCAAUAAGAUAUUAGUGUUUUUGCUGCUAUCAAGGAAGCACGAACAACCUCUAACAAGUGUCGAUUUUUUCGUUCAGCGACUCCAUUUUGCUGGGGUGUAUUGGAACAAGUAGUCUGAUGAAUGAUGCCAUGUCCUUCCAAAUACUUUUGAAGAUUAGAACUUUGAUAUUCUCCACCAUUAUCACUACGCAGAACCCGAACCUUUGCAUUGUACUGAGUUUCAAUCAUUUUAUGAAAUUUUUGAAACAACAAGUUCACUUCACCUUUGGUCUUCAUCAAGCAUAACCAUGUCAUUCUGGUACAAUCAUCAAUAAAAGUAACAAACCAACGUGAGCCACUCAAAGUUGGGACUUUGGAUGGGCCCCAAACAUCAGAAUGUAUAACCAUAAAAGGGAACGGACUUUUAUUCAAAAUUAACGGAAACGAAGCACGAUGGCUUUUAGCCAAUUCACAAAUAUCACAACGGAAACCAGAAAUAUCACUCUUUGCAAACAAACUAGGAAACAAUUUUUUUAAAUAACCAAAGGAAACAUGUCCCAAACGUCGAUGCCAUAACCAAAUUUCAGAUUUUUUCUUCUCCCCCUCAGAUCCAUCUGCCAUCAAGGCUUAUUGCAAUUUAUUUGAAUCAUUUGAUUGCAAGUCCAAGUAAUAGAGUUUUCCCCGUUUAAUACCACAACCAAUCGUCUGUCUUGUUUGGAUGUCCUUAAUCACACAAAAUUCAGGCCAAAAAAUGACAAUACAAGAUAAGGCUGUAGUGAUUUGAGAAACUGACAAAAGAUUGUAAUAUAAAGAUGAAACAACUAAAACAGAAUCCAAAUUCAAAGUAUCAGUAAGAGUUAAGGAUCCUUUCCCAAUGACUGGGGUUGUGUUACCAUUGGCUGUGGAAACAAUUUUUUGUGAGGAAGGUCUAAGGGGUGAAACCUGUCUAGAAUCAAAAGUCAUAUGAUCUGUAGCACCAGAAUCAAUUAUCCAUGCACUAUUAAUAACAGGUGUAAAAGUAUUUAAAAACUUACCACCAUGAUCAGUAGCGGCUACCAAUGCAAAGGCUUUCUUAGUAACAUUAGUCUCUGUUUUUAUUUCGGCAACAGUUGCAGUCGAGGUUUUCUUGGGAUCUUUCUUCCGUUGAUCACAAUUAUUAUAAUUAAUAACAAAGUGUUGAUAGCCUAAACAUGAUCUAAAGGUCCAUGGUUCAAACCCUCGGUUUCUUAUUGUUUUCCUGGUCAUACCAAGAGUCGUUGCUUUGAAAUUGUGGGAUAUCCAGACUGGUGGGACUAGUCUUAUUGAAGUGAGUGCAUUUGAAGGUUGACUUAUCAAUAUUAGGGUUUGUCUUAGGAUGGUUGAUCGUUGUCGGACUACCAUAGUGACAAAAUAUCCAAGAUUUUAGUUCCAUGGCUUUGAUACCAUCUUCAAAUUGAUAAAUAGUAGUUUUUUUCAUUCAUACUUUCAUUCGUUCAUGUACAGAGUAUAUAUAGAGGGUAAUCACCAUUUUAAGAAUGGGAAAGAAUGAUACAAGGAAAGAAUGAUAUAAGGAAAUAACAACUAAUAUCCUAAUAUAUCAACUUUCCUAAUAUCUCAAUAUUCCUAAUAUCUCAAUAUUCCUAGUAUCUCAAUAUUCCUAAUAUCUCAACUUUCCUAAUAUCUAAACAUUCCUAAUAUCUAAACAUUCCUAAUAUCUCAACACUAAAUGAUAUAAGGAAAGAAUGAUAUAAGGAAAGCAUUCCUUAUAUCUCAACACUUGCAUCCAUAAUAAUUACAAAAAGAAAAAAAAAAAGGUUUGGCACACUAAAUAGCUUUGUAUCCACAUAACUUCUUAUAAAGAUAAAAUUAAUAAAUAAAUAAGAAAUUAAAGUGAAUUUGAUAGUGAUUCUAAAAAAUAUUUUUAAUCUUUAUAAUACUUAAAAAUAUUUAUUUUUCAAGAAUUAGAAAUGGUAAGAACACUUUCUAAAAUUACUGUCAAACACACUAUUAAUUUCAUUCAAAUUAUCAUUAUAAAUGUGAUUAGUAUUGUGUAUGGUUUUGGCGGUAUCAUGCCCAGCCAAAAUAAACUAAUAAAAAUUGUAACAUUUUUGCCGGCAAAAUAACAAGCGAUUGUUGAUUUGGUCUUUUUUUUUUUACUUUUCAUUCAUCAACCUUUAAUUCAACAAUAUAUGUUUUAGUCUAGAAAAAAAAUACCAAUAAUUAUAUAAGAAUAUUAUAAUUCUACAUCGUACAUGUUCACAAGUGGAAUUCAAUUUAACAUUAAUCAUGUAGACUCUUACAGGUAAUUGUGUAAAAAUGUUAUGGUAUCCUAUUUCUUUAGGUUAUGUUUGGUUUCAUAAGUUAUUAGGAAAAAAAAUGUUAAGGUUGGUUUUAAUAUAAAAAAUAUAAAAUAAAAUUAAAUAUAAUGAAAAUUAAUUACAAAUUUAUAUAUUUUAAAAUUAUUUAGUUUGUAUAUAUUAAAAAAAUAAAUGAAAUGAGUUUGAAAAACCAUAUGAAAAUAAUUUAUUAAUUUCAAAUCUAUUUUUUAUUUUUUCUCAAUUUUUCUUUCCUUCCAUUUUCCUCCCUAUUUUAUUUCUUUCAUAUUUUUUCUUAAAUUUUCCGAGAACCAAACGGUCUUACAGAAAUUAAGGACCUAUUUGGCAACUGUUUUCGAAAAUAAUUUUAUGUUCUAAAAAAUAAAACCAAGAAAACAUGUUUAAUAAUUAGAAAUUAUUUUCUGUUUAAUUUUAAAAACAGAAAACAAGGUGUUUUCAAAUAAUAUCUUUUAAUUGUUUUCAUUUGUUUUCUAAGGUUGUUGUAAAAAUUAAUUAUAAUGUAAAAUGAUUAAAAACAAAACAUUGGAUAAACAUAUUAAAAACAAGUUAAAAACAUUUCAAGUUUCUAAACAUAUUUUUAUUUUACACAAUAUUAGAGAACAAUAUUUAAAAAUUAUUUCGUGUUUGUUUUCUACCUAAUAAUUAAUAGAUGAAGAAGGAAACACAAAUCAAUGGAGAAGAAUGCUCAAUCCAACUUGAUUAGCAUCCAUUAACAAAUAAUUUUCUACUAACAUUGGCUGUGUCAUCAGCAACCUAAAAGUUAAAAUAAAGGAAUAAAACAAUGAUAUUUGGGUCAUUAAUUGACCUAUUUUCCAAUAUGAUAUAAUGAUGAUCUUCUCUCUCCGCUUUGGAUCUCAUCUUGUUGUUAUCAUAUCCUUUCCAUGCACGGUUGAAGAAUGUUUCACUAAGAUAGGUUGUUAUCACAUCAUUUUUGCCAACCGGCCCAUCUUUUUGUUUGGCAAGUACAUUGUUAUAGUAUGUAGCUCAUAUUUGAGUGAAAGACAUAUAGAAAAAAAAGGGCAAAUAUCGGAAUGACGACAUUUGCUAUUUAGGCUUGUAUUUCUAUUGUUGUAGGUGAACGAUAGGUUGGAGAGGCGCUGAUCCCAGUAUGGUUUAAGGGUAUUUUUGGAAUUUCAUUCUGAAGGGUUAGUAUAAAUACCAUUUUAUGUAACCCUAAUUUGAUAUAUUAAUAAAAAUCCUCUUCUUUGUUCCCGUCAACGUAGGCAAUUUGCGAAUCACGUUAAAUCUGUGUGUUCUUUCUUUCUCGUUUUCUUUAUUUUUCACACGGAUUCUAACAUACAUAGGCUACAACAACACCAUCAUUACUUCAGCACCAUAUGGCGAACACUGGCGCAAUCUCCGCCGCCUAAGCGCACUGGAAAUCUUCUCUCCGAAUCGCCUCAACAUGUUUAUAGGCACCCGCAGGGAUGAAAUCAAGAUUUUACUACACCGAUUGUCUCAGAAUUCAAGGGAUAAUUUUGCAAGGGUAGAGUUGAGACUAAUGUUUACAGAGCUAACAUGUAAUAUUAUAAUGAGAAUGGUUGCAGGAAAGCGGUACUAUGGGGAAGAUGUGGAUUUUGAGGAAGCCAAGCACUUUCAUGAAGUAAUGAGAGGGGUUUUUGAAUUGGCUGGGUAUCGAAUCCAGGAGAGUUUUUUCCUUUACUACGGUGGGUUGACUUUGGGGGUUAGGAGAAGAAGUUGGUGAAGAUCAAAACAAAGAAAGAGCUGAUCUCCUAGGUCUUGUUGAAAAGCAUCGAAGUCCUAACCGUGGCCUUGUGAAUAAAAACAGUAUGAUCAAUCUUCUGCUUUCAAUGCAAAAAUCAGAACCAGAAUAUUACACAGAUGAAAUCAUAAAAGGGCAUUCAUUGGUAACUUCAGUAUUGCAGGCAAACUGAUUCUCUUUAAGAUAUACCACUUUUCCUUAUCUUUAAGAUAUACCACUUUUGCCAAAAGAAUAAUGCUAUUCAAACCUAAAUUGGCCAGUUUGCUUCAUAGAAAAGACACUGAUCAGCAUAAAUGGUUCUAUUUUUGUUAAAAAAAUUAGGUCAUAUGCCAUUAAGCGUGCAGGAGAGGCAAGCCAACAAAAGUUGGGAAAUCAAGCAAUUUUUUUUAAAGAUAUUUGAAUGCUGCAUAUUAAUGGUCUAUCAAACGCAACUAGUAUUUGGAGUAUGAAAUUUCCAUUUUUUUUUUGUUUUUUGAGUAUUUAUAUUAAUGUUGGUGUCACAUGUGGUUUAAUUUUUCUCGAAGCUACAAAUAUUGUAUGCAGAUCUUAAUUCUUGUUGGUACUGAGACUACUGCAACAACAAUAGAAUGGGCCAUGUCUCUUCUACUCAAUCAUCCUGAUGUUAUGAAGAAAGCUAGAGUCGUAGAAUUGGACACUCAUGUCAGAAAAGACCGUUUGAUGGAAGAAUCCGAUUUCCCCAAAUUACACUAUCUUCAAAGUAUCAUUUCUGAAACUUUAAGAUUAUUUCCAGCAGCCCCAGUUUUGGUACCACGUAUGUCUUCAGAUAAUUGCCAAAUAGGAGGAUUUAAUAUACAAAGAGACACAAUAUUAUUGGUCAAUGUUUGGGCGAUUCACAGAGACCCUAAGUUGUGGAAAGAUGCUACAAGUUUCAAGCCAGAAAGAUUUGAAAAUGGAGAAAGUGAGACUUACAAGCUAUUGCCAUUUGGAUUGAGAAAAAGGGCAUGCCCUGGUGUUGGCCUAGCUAAUCGAGUAACAGCUAGGUUUGACUUUGGGGUCAUUGAUUCAGUGUUAUGAGUGGGAGAGAGCUAACGAGAAGGAAGUUGACAUGGCUGAAGGGAGAGGAAUCACCAUGCCCAAAUUAGAGCCAUUGGAAGGCAGUAAAGCGCGUGCUAUUAUAAAAAAGGUGUUAUAAAACAAUCCAGCAACUAUUGGCUGAUGUUAGCAUUAUAAUCAGCAUAGAGAUCCUCAUAUUUGGUGGGGCGUGAAAUUCAAGAAAGGCUUUCAAAUUUAUGAUGGAUUAAUGAUCAGACCUAUAAGAAGAGAGCAGGGGAUGAACAUUGGGAAAAAGAUGGAUGCAUUUAUGCAGAGCCAAUUCAUGUGCCAGGGCAAUUUGGCGAAUAGAAUCCUAUAUCUAAUAAUUUAAUUACCUUGCAAGAAUCAGAGCCACACUAAAUUAUCAAGAGACUUGUACCAGUUUGUAAACUAGUGGAUAUAUUGCUAUUAAUGUUUAACUCUAGUGGGACAUGAUAACACAUCUGUGAUAAUCCCUCAUGCCGAGCCUUUCAGAGGUGCUGGACAGCAUUGAGCCAAGUUGGAUACAAUUGCUUGAUUGAUGAACUGGAUCUCCUUAAUGGCAUUCCAUGCCCAAAUUGGAGCCUUUGGAGGCCAUGUAUAAAGCAGGAUGCAUUAUCAACAAGCAAGGCAGAAGCUGAAGAAGAAACCCAACUCCCCAACUCCCCAACUCCCCAACUCCCCAGCUCCCCAACUCCCCAACUCCAUUUUUGUCAAGAUGAUCACCACAUCAAAGCAUCUCCUUCAGCAGUUGGCCUAAGUAGCCAACUUGCCACAACAUCAUUGAAGAAGAGGGCUAAUCUAUUCAUCAAUUCAAAUCAAAACAUUGGUUUGCUUUUUCAAAAUUAAAUAGAGUGAUUGUAUAUACAUUCAUUCUCCAAAUUCCUUCUGACUUCCCUUGUUAGAUAAAUUUUGUUAUAGCUUCUAUAAAAAAAUAAGACUAAUUAUAAUAGAUUAUAUGCAUAAUUUAAUUUCAUUAUUUGUGUCUGAUUUAUAUUUUAGUCCGUUCUUUUGCAUGUGGUAUCAUUUAUUUUUAUAAGACUUGUUGCUAGAUUUUAUUUAUUUUGGCAUAUGAAAAUUGUAUAAAGCUUGUAUAAUGAUCGAAUGAAUGAUACUUGGCAUUCCACCCAAAACCUUGCCUAAUUAUUCAAUGAAUGAUAUUUGGCAUUCGGCCGCAACGUUCCCUAACCCUGUUAGGCAAGACGCGUGACAAUGAAUAACAACUGCCAUCCUUUACAUCUAAUCUCCUUCAUUGGAUUUCCAUAAAUAUUUUUGUCACUGGCACAGUUAAAGAUGGAUAAGAUCACGAGGAAAACAAUUUAAAAUGUUCAAGUAAAGUAGCUUUUGAAUAUAAGCUUGCGUGAAGAAAAAAAAAAAUAGUGUGGUUGUUUCCACUACGUACUCCAGUGCUUACCUUCAAUAGUCAACACUAAGUUAAGUUUGAAUAGCAUAUGCAUAUAACCCAUCUUUCUCUUGAUCAGUAUGUCAUCAACAAAACCAUGGAAUCUCUAUCUCUUCUCUUUCUCUUGUUUGCUUUCAGUGUCUUCCUCCAAAGAAGAAGAACACAUCCCCGCCUCCCACCAACCCCGCCUGCUAUUCCAAUUCUUGGUCAUCUCCAUCUCCUCUUGAAACAACCAAUUCAUCGGCAUCUACAGACUCUUUCUCAAAUCAGUCAUUUAUUCAUCGUUUGUCUAGGGAUUCCAGGGGUAAUUUUGUGAAGGUAGAGUUGCUGCUAAUAUUUAAUAUUAUAAUGAGGAUGAUUGCAGGAAAGCGCUACUAUGGUGAAGACGUGCACGUUGGGUGCAACAUCAAAUCCAACAGAUUUUUUUGCCUCUGUUGCGAAGGAUAGAUUAUGGAGGUUGUGAGAGGAAGAUGCAUGGCAAAUAUUAGUAUAGUGUUAGAUGCGAUCUUGCAAGGUUUUGAUUAAUGAGCAUACAAUAAAAGGGGUUUAGUGGAUAAUAAUACUAUGAUCGACCAUCUAUUAUCAUUGCAAAAAUCAGAACCAGAAUACUACACAGAUGACAUCAUUAAAGCUUGUGGAAUGACCUCGAAAGUUUUAAGCUGUAGAGGUUUGAGAAUAGGGAAAGAGAUAUAUCCAAACUACUGCUCUUCGGGGUGGGAAGGAGGGCGUGUCCUGGGAUUGGCCUACCAAACCAUAGGGUGGAUUUGGCUGUGGGGUCAUUAAUUCCAGAGUUUUAUUUGCAAGAAAAUAGACUAUAGGAAAAUUACACAUAAUAAUGAUGAGAUAUAAGAACAUGUAAUAGAAAUGAUAAUACUAUUUGAAGAAAAUAAAAGUGGACAAAUACUUGGUAUUUCUAUAUAUAAUAUAAAUUAUAAUAAUUUUUACAAAAAGUAAUUGUUAUUGGAAAAAACAAAUAUCAUUUGAAUUAAUUAUAUAUAAUAAUGCUAAAAUAUAAACGCAUAUAAUAAAAAUAAUAAUGCUAUUUUAGGGAAAAAAAAAUGUGGACAAACACUUCGUAUUUUUAUAUAUAAUAUAGAUUAAAAUAAUUUUUUAUAAAGAACAGGUUGUCAUUGGAAAAAACAAACAUCAUUUGAAUUAAUUAGAUAUAAUAAUGAGUGGAUAUAAUCACAUAUAAUAGAAAUAAUAAGACUAUUUUUGAAAGAAAAAAAAUUGUCAAAACACCUCUUAAUAUAUAUAUACACGCAUGAUAUAGUAUUGUUUCUAUUUCUAAAGAUUGCCCUCAGACUGCUGAAGCCUACCUGCAUCAGUAAAAAUUGAAUAACAUAUACUCAAUGUAUUUAGCGAGUCUCAUAGUAAUCUUAACGUAAACCUGGUGUGAGCUACUUCAAAACAUGCAUAUGACUAUUUCUGCUUACGAAACAGAGGAUUGUGGUUUACAAAUGUUGCAGUUUUGGCGAAGGGAGGUAACAGGAGCAAGAUUGAACAAGAAUGACAGAAGUUGAAAAAGAAACUCAACACUACCAUUAUCGUUAAGACUAUUAUAUCAACCAUUCUUACUAUAUGAGUUCUUUUUCAGCAUUUGGCCUCCCACGCAACCAACUCGCAACACUUUGGUUUGAGGAGAGGUCUUCCUCACACCAUCAUAAAAAAAGAGGCCGCCUCCACUGCCUCCAUUGAUGGUGGCGGCACUUUAGAUUUAGACUUUCAAGGAUAUAGUUGAUUGUUUGAAAUAAUGUUAUGGGUUGUCAUUGUGGUCUUGGAUUAUUGAUUUAGUGGUUUAUACAUAUAAAAAGAGAGAGAUAAGGCAAAACUAACAAUGGGUUUGGUAUUGAUUUUGAGAGAGUUAAAAGUAGUCCCCAUACUUGGAAACGCUUUCUAUACAAAAUUAGGUAUUUGAUAAACUUUUCAAAUUCUCUUUUAACAGUCUAGAAAAUUACUUGAGUUGAUUAAAGGAAAAUAAUUUGAUGCAUGGUUUUUCGAAAAUACUUUUAUAAAAUAUUGUAGAUAAAAGUGCUUUAAUGGAAAUAAUUUCUAAAUGUACUUUAAAUUUCAUAUUUUCAAACUUUCCUAAUCUUUCUUUAAGUGAAACUCAUUUUACCUUUGUCUAUAUGUUUUGACUCUUCACUGAUUUUUUCACCAUCUAAAAAUACUAUGUAAAAUAACGUGGUCAAACAUGAAUCUUGUUAUUAAUAAUUUUAAAAAAUAAAAUAAAAAGUAAAUAAAAAAUAAUAUGACAAGUUUUUUCUACUCAAUCGUACAAAUGUCUUAAAAAAAUAUUAAAAAUAGAGUAAUCAUGUAGGAAAUUAUUAUUUAAGAAAAGAAUCCACUAAGGUUAUUUGGAUAAAAUAUCCUUCUAUUUUUUAUUUUCCUUUUACAUAAGGAUUUCUCAUUAUUUUUAUCUUACCUUUUUUUUUCUUUCCUUUAAUCCUCACAAUAAAAAAAUUGUUAUAGUUCUCAUUAUUCUCUCAUCUCCUCUUUAUUAAUGGUCAUGAAAAAUGAAUUAAAAGAUAUAAAUAACCAAUAUUAUUUUUUCUUCAUAUUUUUUUCUAUUGAUGACAAAGAUUUCUAAAACCCUUACUUUAUUAUUACCAAACCAAGCAAAGGUCAAAUGAUGGCAUACAAUGGAUCUCAUGUAUUUAAAAUUAUACCAAUAUAACAUUAUUGGUCGAUUCUAACUCAAAAUAUUCACUUGCGUGUUUGGACUUCAGAGUUUGCGAGCGUGGAAAGGUUUUUAUUAUUAUUAAGAAUUACAAGAAGUUUUUAAUUCUUCCACAUUUCGCGUCGUGCCUGACAUCAUUCGUAGGUCUACCUCAUGCAUGACAUCAUUUUUUCUGGACUCCUUCUCUAAUCGUACGAGCUGUUUUUUCUUUCCUUUCAUAAUUUCAUUCGUGGGCAAUUGAGGCAGGCAGAAAGGGAGGAUGCAGUCAAAGAAGUCGGAUGAGAGAUAGUGGGUGGUUUUUGUAUUUUUUUGGUACUAUAAUUUGCUUUAAGGUUAAACACAACUUAAUCUCAUUAAUUAAUCAUUAUAAAUAUUUUAUUGUUUUAAAAUUUAAACACUGAGCUUGUUUUUUUAUUGACAUUUCAAAAUAUGAUUACAUACUAAAUAAAUCAGAUUUAUUUUUGUAAAAAUAAUUAUUUAUUUUUCUUGUUUUAUAUAAUUAAGAUAAAGAUAUUUGAAAUAAAAAAUAAGUAAUUUAACAUAUUUUUAAAUAUCCCAAAAUAUCAGAUUACAUUAUAAUAACAAAAAAUUUAAUGAUGAUAAAAUAAUUAGUAAUUAUAUAGUAAUUAAAGUUUUAAAUUAUAUUUGGUUGCUAAGAAAUGUUAGAAAUAUUUUAUGUAAACUUUUAUAAAAUACUUACUGGGUUGUAUGUGACACAUAUUUGGAUGUAUUGAUUUUUUAUUUAAAUGGUUAAUUUAUUAUUUUUAAAAUUUUCUAUUAUGGUAAUUAACAACAUCAAAUCAUACAUUUUUAUUUUUAAUAUUAAUUAAAAAAAUUAUUUGAGUGAAUGUUUACAUAAAUGUGAAUUGGGUUUUGGAGUUAUAAUUAGAGAAAAUAUAUUUGAAUUAAUGUAGAUAAUUCAAAUAUUAUUAAGGUAAGCAAUGAAAUCAUUAAAAUUGAAACAUGAUCAGGUAAAAAACUUUGUCCUCUUCCUUGUUGAUCAUUCUAUAAAUAAAGCAUAAAUAACCAGGGAAUGCACUUGUAUCUAAGCCUACCUUUCCUUUCACUUCUUCAGUGUCACUACCAUGGAUGUGUCUUCCCUUCACACAUCGCUCUCUCUUCUCUUCGUGUUUCUCUUGCUUGCUUUCGGAAUCUUCUUCCCAAGAAGACGAAGAUAUGGGAAUCUCCCACCCAGCCCGCCUGCAGUUCCGAUUAUAGGUCAUCUCCACCUCCUCAAACAACCGGUUCAUCGAUCUCUACAACUCCUUUCACAAAAGUACGGUCCAAUCUUCUCCCUCCGAUUCGGAUCCCAGCUCGCGGUCAUCGUUUCCUCUCCCUCCGCCGUCGAAGAAUGCUUCACCAAGAACGACGUCGUCUUGGCCAACCGCCCUCGCUUUGCGUCCGGCAAGUACAUGGGGUACAACUACACCACCGUUGCCGCGGCAUCAUACGGCGAACACUGGCGCAACCUCCGUCGCCUCAGCGCCCUGGAAAUCUUCUCCUCCAAUCGCCUCAACAUGUUUCUAGGCAUCCGCAGGGAUGAAGUCAAGCGUCUACUCCUCCGACUGGCUCGAGAUUCGAGGGAGGGUUUUGCAAAGGUAGAGCUGAGACCCAUGCUUACAGAGCUAACCUUUAAUAUUAUAACGAGGAUGGUUGCAGGAAAGAGAUACUACGGAGAAGACGUGGAAUAUACGGAGGCUAAACGUUUUCGGGAGAUUAUCAGCCAGCUUUUCGUACUGGUUGGGGCAUCAUCAAAUCCAGCAGAUUUUUUGCCCAUAUUGCGAUGGACUGGGCUCGGAUACCAUGAGAAGAAGCUAAAGAAUAUCAUGAGAGAGACAAAGGCGAUCAUGCAGGGUUUGAUUGAUGAGCAUAGAAGUGGUAAUGACAAGGGUUCGGUGGAUAAUAAUUCUAUGAUCGACCAUCUGUUAUCCUUGCAAAAAACAGAACCAGAGUACUACACAGAUGACAUUAUUAAAGGGCUUGUACAGGUGAGUGAAACGCUGUUUUCGUAUCUGCUGUAUUUUCAAAGUUUAUUCUAAAAUUUCACAGAAAACAAAAAUAAAAGUGCAGUUUAAUACUUGUAGUGGGAAACUUGGUUUUUGAAGUGUAUAAUGUUGGUUUUUUUGUGGGUUUUUUUACUUCUUUUUUCAUCUCACAAAUUCUUCAAUACAGGUCUUAAUUCUUGCUGGAACCGACACUUCAGCAUCAACAAUGGAAUGGGCAAUGACCCUUCUCCUCAAUCAUCCGGAUGUUUUGGAGAAAGCUAAAGCAGAGUUGGAUAUGCACGUUGGAAAGGACCGCUUGAUAGAAGAAUCUGAUCUUCCCAAACUGCGGUACCUUCAAAGUAUCAUUUCUGAGACUUUGAGAGUAUUUCCUGUGACCCCUCUGUUACUGCCCCAUAUGUCCUCAGAUGACUGUCAAAUAGGGGGUUUUGAUAUACCACGAGGCACAUUAUUACUGGUAAAUGCAUGGGCCCUUCACAGAGACCCUCAGGUGUGGGUAGAUCCUACAAGUUUCAAACCUGAAAGGUUUGAAAAUGGAGAACGUGAGAAUUACAAACUAGUACCAUUUGGAAUAGGAAGAAGAGCCUGUCCUGGAUCUGGCCUAGCUCAGCGAGUGGUGGGUUUGGCUUUGGGGUCGUUGAUUCAGUGCUAUGACUGGAAGAAGAUUAGCAACACCGCUAUUGACACCAUUGAAGGGAAAGGGCUGACCAUGCCCAAACUGCAGCCAUUGGAAGCCAUGUGUAAGGCACGUGAGAUUAUAAACGAGGUUCACUUGAACUAGAAAACAAUAUUUAGUUGGUAUUAGUACUCUGGUAUUUUGCUUGUAUUGAUGCAAUAAGCAUUCUCUGAUGCAUUUCGAGUAUCGUCCCCGUUAUAAAUAUGUAUUAUAUGCUAAGAUUGUCGUUAUGUCGAUUAUCAUACUAGCAGAUUUCUUUUGCUUUGGAGAGCAGAGUGGAAAUCUAAAUCUUAAAAUCAUAAUAAUAAAAAUAUUGAAAUAUUUAAUUUCUCAUUUGAAUAUGCCUUUUUUUUUUUUGCCUGUUAAAUUUUUAAAUUGAUCGUUUUCCUCUUUGAUUUUAAAACUUAAUGGUUCUGUUGAAUAUAUUUGAGAAUGAAAAAAAAAAUCAUUAUUUUUUGUUUGAGAAUGUGUGCCAAUGCUGUGCAGAUGAAUGAACUGUUGCAUGAUAAUGGACUAACAAUAUGUGUCAAAUUGACGAUCAUUCUAACUUUGUCUAAUUCAUAUUAUAUCAUUUUUCUGACUUGAAAAAUCUCCCUCCAUUAUCCUCUCCCAUGACUUUAAUUUCACAUCACUUUUCAACCCAAAGUUGAAGCUCAACGCCAUGAUUAUCAUGUUGACCAACGUAACGAGAAUUUCCAUUCGUCGAGGCUCAUUCCAAAUUAAAGCAGACAGCCUGACCAUACUAUUGCGUGGGCCUUAAAUUUUCUUUAGUCCAGAAUCUCAUAUCAUUCAGUCUUAUCUUAAUUUUCUGGAUUAUCCUCUCCACUAUGGAUAAUUGUGUUUUGGAUCCAACUGAACUCAAAAAUUAAUAUUUGGUUCAUAUAAUUUACAUAACUAAUAAAAAUAAUAUAAGAUGUUAAGAAAUCAAUACACCUUUCAAAUUUUUAUAUAUUACCUUUUAAAAAUAUAAAAUAGUGAUGAACUAAAAUACCUAAUAACCUUUCGGAUAAGCUUUUUUAAAAUUUGGAUUUUAAUAAUUUUUACACUACUAUUCAUGCAACCAUAAUAAUUCUAUUUUAACAAUUUGAAUUUUUCAUUGUUUUUAAUUUUUUAUUAUAAAUAAUUGAAAAUCAACAUUAUUUUCUAUUUUAAAUUAUAAAUAAAGAAAAAUUAUGUUCAAAAACUAUUUUAAAAAAUACUUUCUAAAAAAAUGGUAAUAUGAUUUAUAUUUUUUAUAUUUUAUUUUUGAAAAAACAUUUAAUUAAAAAAUGAAAACUAUUUUUAAAAAUAAAAAUUGAAAACCUUGUUUAGUACUAUUUUUUAUGUGAAAAUAAUAAAAAGAAUUAAAUUUUAUUUAUUGAUUAUCCAUUUUUAUUUUUUUUCCAUUAGUUAUUUUAAUAAUAAUAAUAAAAAUAUAGUUGGUUUACAAUUAAACAAAUGAAUUGGUUAAUUAUAUGUUUUUUUAUGUGACUAUCUUUUACAUGAAAAAUAAUUAAAUAACUAAAUUAUAUAUGUUUAUUACUAUUUUUAAUUUUAUUUUCUUUAUUUAUUUUUUGUAUAAUAGAAAAUUUUAAUAUAUCCAUAAUUAACAAAGUAAUAGAUUAAUUGUACACAUUUUGAUUUAUUAAAAUAAAUUAAUUUCUAAUUUAAAUAAAUAAAAUGAAAUAAGUAAAUAAAUUUGAGGUUAUUUCUAUUUUUUAACAUAUCUUAUAUUAAUAUUUUUUAUAGUUAAAUAAAUUUUUUAUUAUUUUUUUCUUUAAUUCCAAAAUAAAAUAAAUAAAUAAAUAAAUAAAUUUGGUAUUUUCUAACUGAUCUUAUAUUCAUAUUUCUUAUGAUUAAAUAAAUUUUUUAUUCUUUUUUCUUUAUUUCCAAAAAUAAAAGGAAAUAAAUAAAUAAACUUGGCUUAAAUAAUAAUUUUUAAGUAAUUUCUUUGUCUUAUUUUUAAUUACAUUUUGUAUUGAAAAUAAAAUAAAAUAACGUUUUAUUUAACUCGCAUAUGACAAUUCGAAUACUUAUCCCACUAAUGAUGUUUGAAAGAAAAUUUUGUUUUUCUAUCUUCUACUAUUUUUUGAACCAAACCAAUGAAAACAUGGUUAAUCUACGUAUGAUUACACAUUGAGUAGGGGUAUAUGAAAUUUUGAGUCACUGUACAAGGUAUUUACACUAAGUAUACAUGAUAAAUAUAUUAAUUGUAUUAGGGUGUACAAGACUAUUAUUUGUGAAAAAUUUUGAGUGAUUCUGAAAAACUUGUUUAUUUAUUUUUCCUAACUGAUGAUAGAUGACAUUCCUUACACACAUUGGUUAAGUAUACAUUCAUUUCAUGCAUUUUAUCUAAUUUGUAUAUGGUCAUUUAAAUAAGUACCUCACUUAUGAUGAUUGUACAAUAAAAUUAUACAACAAUUUUUCUUCUUUUUUAAAACCAAACUAAUGCAAACAUGGUUAACUGAAUUAUUGUCAGAUAUUCAUGAAAUGAUGUAUGAAAUUUGAGUUAUUAUACAAGGGUGUUACACUAACUGUACAAGACAAAUUUACUAAUUGUAUAAAGGUGUAUAAGAUUACUUUUUGUUAAGGAUUUCAAGUGAUUUUGAAAAACUUUCUCAUUUUUUUAACUCAAGGAUUUUUGCGCACUCAAAUUCUCUCACUUAAGAAUUGUUUCGAAUUUUAUUUUUAAAUUUUAUCAUCAAAAUUUUGUAAUUGCAUAUUUCGUUUUUUUAGUUUUAGUAAUGUUCUUUCUUUCCACUAUUUUUUUUUGUGAAAUUUUAUCCAAUUUAAUCUAUAUUUAAAAUUAUAAUCAUAUUUAUCAAAUUUUUUUACUAAAAUUAUCUUUAAUUUUUUUAAUAUAUUUAUACUCAUUUAUUUAAAAAAAUGAAAAACUAAUUUUUUUUUAUAAACAUGUUCUAUUAUCUUUCAAGUAAAAAUUAGAUAAGUUUGAAAGUUAAUAAAAAAAAUUAAAUACCACUUUCAAUAAAUUGUAUUGACAGUUUUCUUAUUGUGAGUCAAAAUACUUUGUAUUAGUCUAUCUAUAUAAGAAAAAUUAUUAAUAUAAUAUUAGAACUUUAUAUCUUAGUUAUUUUUUUCAAUAAAUUUAUCUUUUAAAAAAUUUUAAAAUAAAAACAUUAAAAAUUAAAAAGCUAAAAGGAUAUAUAAUAAGAGUGAAGUGAUAGUCAUUUUUAAAAUUUUUUAAAUAUGGUUAAUGUAGAAUAUAUAAAAAAUAAUUAAAAAUAAGAGAAAAAGUAUAAAUGAAAGGGUAAUAUAAAUUUAAAAUAAAAAAUGAAAAUUAAACUAAAAGAUAAAUACAAAAGAUAAAAAAUAUUUGGAUGAAAAAUUCCAAAAUUUUUAUCCUUACUUAUAAUAAGAGUAAAAAGAUUCAAUAUAUUUAAAAAUAAAAAUUAAAAAAAAUAAAAAUAUUAUUACUUUUUAUUUGACAUAAAAUAGAAUUAUAGAUUGGAAAAAAAAAAGUUAGAAAUGGGUAAUACUUAAUAGGGAAUAGAAAAGGGAAAAAAACACAAAAAAAUUAAAAUUCACACUCACUAUGUGCUUAUGUAAGGGUUAAGGGUAUUUUAGGGAUUAAUGAAAGACAAUAUUAUUCUUCUCAAUUUUCAAACUUUUUUUUGGAUGUUGGACUUAAUUAUGAAAGAUAUAUGAAAUCGAUUUUAAUUUUGGCUCACCAAAACACAAUUCUCCCAAAAUGAAUUUAUCAGAAUUUGUGUUAAACAGGCCGCCUCCACUGCCCCAUGGAGGAUGGCGGCGCUUCAGGCGUAGACUUUCAAGGACAACUUGGCUGUUUGAUACAUUUCCUAUAAAAAAUAGGUGUUUGAUAAACUUUUGAAAACCUCUUUAUCUAUUCCUAUCACAGUAUGAUGCAACUUUAUCACAAGAGUCUACUCAAUGUAAGACAAACUCUCUGAUUGCUUAAUAUUUUUUGUAUUAAAAAGAAUAGUUUACACCUCAUUCAUAAUCGAUUAUUGUCUUUCUUAUUGAAAGUGUAGCCGCCUGUCUCAUGUGAUUUUGGCAGGGCUGUCAAUAAAAUAAUAAUUUUAUCUUCAUCUUUAAUCUUAAUUUUUAUUCUCAAUAAAUGAGUUAUGCAAUUCUUAAAUUUAUUUAUGUGAUCCUUAAGAUUUGUUCUUUCAUCCAUUUUGAACUCAUAUAAUUACUUCUUCAAAUAUAAUCUAUUUGUUAAAAAUUUUAAAAUAUAAGUUUUUUUUGUCAUUUUUGCCAUAAAUCAGAAGAAGAUCUUUCAUUCAAAACACUAUAUUUUAGUUAACGAGUUAGACUUAAACAAAUAGCAUUUACUACUUUUGCUUUAAUUCUUCCCAUUGUUCAUCCACUAUGCUCUUCGGUUUCUUAUCUUGUAAUGCUUUAAAAAGUCCUUGUUGCACCAAAAUAUCUAUAACCAUAUUUUGCUAAAUACGGAGAUGAUUUUUUCCAUCAAAUGACUUACUAUCAUAUUUUAUACCAAACAUCAUCUUUAAAAUAAUUUUUCUAUGGUUUUCACACUAUGACUCUAGUACCACUUGUUGAAAGAAAUCACAAUACCCAAAUGUAUUUUGAAACAUAAAGAAAAUUGUGGACUCCGCAUUUCGACCCAUGCGUUUUCACUCGAUGGCGAGCUCAAUUUUUAUUUGAAAAUGAUUUUAUUUAUUAAAAAAUGACUUGGAGUCGUCACUUAUUUUUACUUUAUUUUUUAAAAGGGUAAAUAAAAUAAGAAAGAAAACUCUAAGUGUGACUCAUUAUUUUGAAAAAGGUGGUCUAUGAAAAAUCGGAUCGGGUUCGAGGGUUAGGUUACUUAUCAGGAAGGUAUGGUAAAGACUGUAACACCCUUUUAAGUCCCUAAAAUCGGGUCUCUACUAAUAAAAUGAAGCUGAUGUGGCAAUCAAUAUGGAAAUCAAUGGAUACUCAAAUCGAUUAUGCACCUAUGAGAAUCAAAACAUGCAUAAAGAAUGACCAAAAUGAGAGUAGAUGCAUACCUGGGCCACGAAUGAGCAAUGUGCUAUCAUAAAAAAUGGGGUCAAUGUACAAUAAAGAACACAAAACAUAUCACCUGUAUCACCAAACAAAAAUUAAAAUUGUUCGAGGAAAAACUGGAUUUUUGAAAAUUGGAGUCUUAAAGAUUAUUUGAAAAUUGAUAUUUUAGAGAUUAAAUGUAAGAAUGAGAAUUUUAAAAAUUAAAUUUGAAGAAAUUUUGAAAGUUAUUUGAGAGUUUGGGAUUUAAAAAAAUUAAAUUACGAAAAUUGGGAUUUUGGAAAUUAAAUUUUAAAAGAAAUUAGAAUUGAAAAUUAUUUGAGAAGUAGAAACUAUGAAAAUUGAAUUAUAAAAAUGAAAAUUAAGUUCGAAAAUUGGACAAUUGGAAUUUCAGAGAACUAAAUUUGGAAAUUGAAAUUUUGAAAAAUUAUUUUAAAACAAAAUUUUAAAUAAAUGAAUAAGUGAAUAAAUAAAUGAAUGAAAUAAUAAUAAUGACGAAAUAAUAAUGAUUGGAUACAUAAUUACGGAAGUUAGGAUUUCGGAAAUUGGAAAUUGAACUUAGGGAUUGAAAAUUUAAAGAAUUAUAAAUGAAUAAGUGAAUAAAUAAAUGAAUAGAAUAACGAAAAUAAUAAUGAUUGAGUAAAUAAUUAUGAAGAUGGGAAUUUUGGAAAUUGGAAAUUUGAAGAAUUAUUUAGAGAGGGAAUUUUAAAUAAAUGGAUAAGUGAAUAAGUAAAUGAAUUGAAUAACGAAAAUAAUAAAGAUCGGAUAAAUAAGUGCGAAAAGUAAAAUUUUAGAAAUUGGAAAUUAUUUAGAUAUUGAAAAUUUGAAGGAUUAUUUAGAGAUAAAAUUUUAAAUAAAUGAAUGGAAUAAUAAUAAUGACAAAAUAAUAAAGAUUAGGUAAAUAAUUGCGAAAAAUAGAAUUUUAAAGAUUGGAGAUUGAAUUUAGAGAUUGAAAAUUUGAGAAAUUAUUUAGAGAUGAGAUUUUAAAUAAAUGAAUAAGUGAAUAAAUAAAUGAAUGAAAUAAUAAUAAUGACAAAAUAAUAAAGAUUAGAUAAAUAAUUGUGAAAAAUAGAAUUUUAGAGAUUGAAGAUUGAAUUUAGAGAUUGAAAAUUUGAGAAAAUUAUUUAAAGAUGAGAUUUUAAAUAUAUGAAUAAGUGAAUAAAUAAAUUAAUGAGAUAAUAAUAAUAACGAAAAUAAUCAUUAAACAACUGAAUGUGAAUAGUUGAAUUUUUGAGAUUGGAAAUUAAAUUUGCAAACGGAAUUUUAAAAAAUUGAACUUUAAUGAUUGAAAUUUUUAAAAGAAAUAAAUAAAUAAAUAAAUGGAAUAAUAAUAAUAAUAAUAACGAAAAUAAUAUUUGAACGAAUGAACGUGAAUAGUGGAUUUUUGAGAUUAAAAAUUAAAUUUGAAAGACGAAAUUCUUUUUUUUUAUUUAUAAAAUAUGUUUAAAGAUUGGAAUUUUUAAAAUAAAUAAAUAAAUGAAAUAAUAAUAAUAAUAACAAAAAUAAUACGAUGAACGUGAAUAGUAAAAUUUUUGAUAUUGAAAAUUAAAUUUGAAAAACGGAAUUUUGAAGAAUUAUUUGAAAGUGAAAAAUGGAGGAUUAAGUCUAAGAAAAUGGCAUUUUGAAGAUUUAUUUGAGAAUGAAAUUUUUGAAGAUUUAAUUUAAAAGGAAAUAGAGUUGCGAAAAUUUAUUUGAAGAUAACAUUUUAAAAAAGAUUAAAUUCGAAAUUAUGGAAUUUUGUUGGAGAAUUAAAUUUAAAAAUUUGAAUCUUGGAGAAUUAGGCCUAAAAUUAGAACCUUAGAAAAUGGAAACUUGGAAAAUUGAAUUUAAAAAAAAAAAGAAGUUUAGUUAAAUUGAAUUUUUGGUAAUCAAAGUUUUAUAAACUAAAUUUAAAAUCAAAUUUCAGGAAAUUAUUUCGAUAAUGAUAUUUUGUAUAAUUAAAUUUAAAAAUGGAGUUUUGGAAAAAUUAACUUGGAUAUCAAAACACGAAGAAAUAACAAAAAUAAAUAGGUAAAUAAAUAAAGGUAUGGUGAUUUAGGCCAAAAGUGGCCAUGCAAAAUGGGGCCCGGGGUUGCUAUCAGGAUUGCAACCGAAGGUUGAGAACAAUCAGGUGUUGUUUUGUUCAGGGUACUUGAAAUAGCAGAAAAAUUCAUAAGGCAUUUCCCUGUCAAGAUUGGCUCAUAUGUAGCCGGAAAGGAUGGGUACAUUGGUGAAAAAGGUUCUGUAGGAGAUGAAAGAUGUGGAAGAACAUCAGGUGAUAUUUCUAAGGGUUCAAAGAGAUCAGUAUUAUGUGGUUUUGCCAAAUCAGUCGUGGAAGAUACAUGAUUAUACUUAACAAGUGUCAGCUGUUCCACUACAUCUUAGAAUCUGGAUAACCAGAUGGUGAAUAAAAAAAAAACUGAUUGCAUAAAGAACCCUUAUGACGAGUAAUGGUCUGUAGACAACAACAUACCAAAAUAAAGGCCUAUUUCCCUCAGCUGUAUAUCCAAAAACAGCUCACAACAACAUACCAAAACUUGAAGAUGGGGAGCCCGGAAACCAUUUUUCGAGGCGAGAUCAUGCUGUGGGGGUAAUGGACGAUGAACCUGGGGGUGAGAGGAGCUGUGGUGUUUUGUGAUGAAGAUGUUUCCCGUCAGAACAACGGCGGUGAAAAGGCUCAAACUCCGGCCAUUGCUCUUCGUCUCCGUGAAAAACUCACGGCUGCCAACAAAACAUUGGAUCGAUCCGCAAGCCAAAAUGAUCCAAUUCGAGGAGCUUUGUUAUCAGAGGAAGCGUAUGGAAAUUGGGCCAGAAAUGGCAGAAGAGGAGGUCACAAUCAAAACCAUUGAAGAAAACUCUCAAGCUUUCUCUCUCUACAAACUGAAAAUUCCCCUGCUAAUCUUCUUCUUCCUCUUUUCUCUCCGUUUCUCUAAUUUCUCACUCUUCCAAAAUAUCUCCCGCCCUCAAGCUCUCAAAAAUUCCCCAGAACCCCACUCCAUCUCUGGAAAACUCACCCCAAAAGAACCCCAUUUCUCCCGAUUUUUUUUUUCUUCUCUCUCCCCUCAAAAAUCUUCUUCCCGCUCAGUUUUUCUUCUCCCACAAGUCUGCACCUGCUUCCUGCUACCACCAUGCCGUCUUUGCCACAUGUCCCAUGCGGGUUCACCUGGAAGUUGUCCCCUACUUUCGAAUGACUCUUUUCGGAUUUGAGAAAAAAAUAUUGGUCCAAGAGGGGUCCACAAAAAUAAAAAUAAUUAAAGAUUUAUGUUAUUUGGUAUAAUUGCCUAUGCCUAUUAGAUAGGAGGAUCGAAUUUAUUAAUGGUCAUGAAAAGGAAUUAAGACUUAUGAAUAACCAACAUUAUUUUUUCUCCAUAUUUUUUUUUCUUUUUCUUUUAUGAAAAAGAAUUUUAAAACUCUUUACUAUUUCUCAACUAAGCAAAAAACUCACCACUAUUAACUAUGAAAUAGUGUUAAGUGAGGAUAUGAUAAGGUCAAAGAAUGAUAAAUAAUGAAUCUCAUGUAUUUAAAUUAUGCUGAUUUUAAUAUUAUUGGUUAGUUCUAAAUCAACCUUGAACUUGAUUAUUAGAAUAACAAUAAAACUAUAUUUAAAUGAUAUCUAAAAUGUUUUGAAAACAAUUUAAAUUUUAUAAAUUAAGUACUUAUAGACAUGUGAGAAUGCAAAUAUCUAAUUUUCAAUAUAUCCAUGAUUAAAAUAAUUAUAUUUUUAUAAAUAUUAUUAUUUAGAAAUAAUAUGUAAGUCAAUUAAUUGAUAAUAUUAUUAUUUAUAAAUAAUAUAUCGACAAUAAUUAAUAAUUAAUAUUUAUAUAUUGAAUCUAGUACAUAAAAUUAAAUAAUUUUAUAAUACAGAUAUUUUAAAUAAUUUUAUUGUUAUAAAAAUAUAGUUUCAAACCAUAUUAGCAUUACUACAUUUUUUUUAGAAUUAUUAUUAUUUUUUUUGAAAAAAUCAUAUUUUCAAAAAUAUAUAUAUUAUAGGUUUAAAAUAUGAUUAAAAUAAUUAUAUUUUUAUAAAUAUUAUUAUUUAGAAAUAAUGUGUAAGUCAAUUAAUUGAUAAUAUUAUUAUUUAUAAAUAAUAUAUCCACAAUAAUUAAUAAUUAUUAUUUAUAUAUUGAAUCUAGUACAUAAAAUUAAAUAAUUUUAUAAUACAAAUAUUUUAAAUAAUUUUAUUGUUAUAAAAAUAUAGUCUCAAACCAUAUUAGCAUUACUACAUUUUUUUUAGAAUUAUUAUUAUUUUUUUUGAAAAAAUCAUAUUUUCAAAAAUAUAUAUAUUAUAAGUUUAAAAUAUGAUUAAAAAUAAGAAACGUCUUUGUAAGAAAUUAUUUCAAUAUAAUUGUAUUUUUUUAUCUUUUAGAGAAAACUAUGAUUUUUGUUUUAAGAUUUUUUUAUUUAUUUAAGAAAUCAUAUUUUAAAGAAACAAUUUUAUUUAAAAAAUAGAGAUACAAACAAAAUAAAUAAAUUCGGAAAAAAAAACUUAGAAGUGAUAUUUUAUCAAAAAAAAAAAAAAAAAAAAUGUACAUCAUUCUCCAAGUAUCUAAAAUAUAACCCAAGUGUCAAAUCAAUUCAAUUCACCACCAAUUAUUCCAUAUUAAAUUAAAUUCAUCGUCACUUUUCCAAACAUUCACCAAUAUAGCACAGUGGGUCAACGGAUAAAAUAAAUCUGAAAAAAAAAACUUAAAUAUAGAAUUUUAUCAUGAAAAAAAUUGAAUAACAUAUAUUAUAUGUUUAGAUUACAACCCAAAAGACCUGAUCAUCAAACUAUGCCCCAAUUAAUACCAGAAUAAAUCAUAAGCAAGUCGGUCAGAAACAGAGCAUAUUUCAUCAAUAACACAUAAAAAAAAAAAAAAUUAACCUAUUUAAAAGCCUGAUAAAAUUCACACAAUUAAUUCAACAUGUCUACUUUAUAAUCACAUAAGAAUGAUUUUUAAAAUAAGACAAAUAGACCCUGAUUGCAGGAUAGGUAAGUAAGUGGAAAAAUAAUUUUUUUCUCCUACUUGGGGAAUCAAUUUUUAACAAAUGAAGAAUAUGAAGUAAUUAAGAAGCUUAGAUUAAAUAAAAAAAAAAAGAAAAGAAAAGGAAAGAAAAGAAAAAGAAAUAACUUAGUUUUUCAUAAUCAACUUGAGUGUCCAAAACAAGGUCAGAUUGGGAAAUGUGUAAAAACUAACUUAAUUCUCCUAAUUGAAAAAGGAUUUUAAGCCCAAACAAAAUUUAAUUAACAAGUUUUAAGAAGUGAAAAUAUAUUUCAAAUAUAAAUUUUUUUUUAGAAAAACCCUAAAACAUUUGUUUUUAAUGGUUAGAAAUACAUCAAACAGUGAUAUUAGACUUUUGAGAAUUUAAAGUAUGUAGGGCUCACCAAAUCCCUAUUUACUAUACACUAGUUUAAUUUAUGUAUCCUCAACCUCAUAUGAACAUUAUAGUAAGUUCAUCAAGCUUAAAUUUGAAGUAUGUAGGGCUCACCAAAUCCCUAUUUACCAUACACUAGUUUAAUUUAUGUAUCCUCAACCUCAUAUGAACAUUAGUAAGUUCAUCAAGCUUAAGGAUGAUUCCAUUUUUAUCCAGAACCAUGAACUUUGAUUUGUGUUUCGAAGAAAAAGAAAGUAAUUUUUUAAAAAAUAAUGAAAAGAUGCAUACAAUUAAAAAUUGGUUGCAUUUCCUUUUACAUAAAAAAAAUUUAAACCCUAGUGACCCAAGAUAACAUUUUUAAGAAAAGUUUAAAAAUUAAUUUUUUAAGAAAAGGAUAUGAAAAAGUAAUAUUUUUGCCAAUAAAACACACAAAAUAUUAACUGUAACCACUCCAAAAAAGUGUAGGAUGACAUACAAUUUAAUUAAUAUCUAUAAUCAUUACCAAUAAACAACCACAAAAGGACCCAAUGGAAGACCAAAAUGAGUAACCUAACCCUCCUAUCUUAUAUAAUCAGGGCCUAAAUUGAGUGAGAAUAUGCCCAUAAAUAACAAACCUAACCCUAACCCUAACAGACACCAAUGAAUAGAUAAAAUAUAUCAACUUUAUACAUAACCAUAAUUAAUAAAUGAUAUCAAAACAUGUUAUUAUAAAAAAAUGUUUAAAUUGAUAAUCAAUUAACGAUUCUUUUUUUAGAUAUACAAAUUAAACAUGGAGCAUCAAAACAAUGGAUUAAAGAUUUUUAAAAAAUAAAUUAAUAUGUGAUCAUCAAAACAAACGACUAAUAACUUUAUACAUUGGAUAAUGGGCCGAUGUCCAUGACUUUCAUCCAACCCAAAUCAUAAAAAAGGGUAGAUACUAUUCAUGACAUAGCAUUUAAAGGAUUUUAUUUUUUUUUCGAAAGAAGGAUCAAAUAAGUUUUCGUGAAAUAGGAUACUCUAGUGAAAGGAAUGAAAAAAAAAAAAAGAAGACAAAUCUUGUCAAGACAAUGAGAAGUAUACAUCAACGAAAAAAAUAAAUAAAUUUAACACCCAACUUAAAAAUUUGUAUAGUUUUGGGAAGUAUCAUGCCAAGUUAAAAUAACCUAAUUAAAAAAAAUUGUAGAUAGAGAGUGCUAAUUUCGUCGAUCUUUAUAAAUCUGAUAACAUGAGCAGGCAUCUUGACUUGCACCCAUUAACAAAUAAAUGUUCUACUAAUAUUGGCUCUGUCAUAAGCAACCUAAGAGUUAAAAUAAAGAAAAAAAGAACAAUGGUGUUAUUCACCUAAUUUCAAAUAUAAUAAUGAUAUCCACUUUCGACUUCUAUCGAAAUAGAAAUUAGAUAUAAUUAUUAGGUUAGAAACAUCUCAUAUAUAUUAAUUCAAACUUUCAUUUACACCUUGAAUAAAGAAAUCCUUCAUUCUAUCUAAUGUCUUUGAUACAUCCUUACAUUUCUUUCUACCUCAUAUUGUAUUUAUGAGAUCAUUAUCUUCAUUUCAUAUCUUUUUCUGUUGAUAACUUAAAAUAUCGAACUUACCAUACAACUAAAAUAAUAAAAAACUCAAUCAAUGAGUGAUCAUCAAAACAAACAACUAAUAACUUUAUACAUUUGGUAAUGGGCCGAUGUCCAUGACUUUCAUCCAACCCAAAUAAAAAAAAGGGUAGAUACCAUUCAUGACAUAGCAUUUAAAGGAUUUUUUUUUUUCAAAAGAAGGAUCGAAUAAGAUUUCGUGAAAUAGGGUAUUCCAGUGUAAGGAAUGGAAAAAAGGAAGACAAAUCUUGUCAAGACAAUGAGAAGUAUACAUCAAUGGAAAAAAAAAAUUAACACCCAACUUAAAAAUUUGUAUAGUUUUGGCUGUAUCAUGCCAAGUUAAAAUAACCUAAUUAAAAAAAUUGUAGACAGAGAGUGUUGAUUUCGUCGGUCUUUAUAAAUCUAAUAGCAUGAGUUGACAUCUUGACCUACACCCAUUUACAAAUAAAUGUUAUACUAAUAUUGACUCUAUCAUUAGCAACCUAAUAGUUAAAAUAAAGAAAAAAAGAAUAGUGGUGUCAUCCACCUAAUUUCAAAUAUGAUAAUGAUAUCCACUUUUAUUUUCUACUGAGAUAGAAAUUAGAUAUAAUUAUUAGAUUAGAAACAUCUCAUAUAUAUUAAUUCCAACUUUCAUCUACACCUUAAUAAAGAAAUCCUUCAUUCUAUCGAAUGUGUUCGAUUCAUCUUUACAUUUCUUUCUACCUCGUAUUAUAUUUAUGAGAUCAUUAUCUUCAUCUCAUAUCUUUUUCCACUUAUAACUUAAAAUAUCAAACCUACCAUACAACUAAAAUAAUAAAAAAAACCCCAUCAAUGAGGUCUCAUUUCACAAAAAUUGGAAUGGCAGAUGUAUUCUAUUAUUGGUGGGCCUCAGAGGAAUUUUAACAUUUCAGCAUUGGGCCUCCUUUGCAGCCAAGUCGUCAUGCUAUCAUUUAAGAAACCUCUUGCCGCAGUCUGCGUUAUGGAAGAGGAGCUGAACUCCACUGCCUACACUGCCAUUGAUAACCCAGUUGGUGUGAGAUUCUUCACAAAAGAUGGGCAAGAUCUAGAAGAUAAUAGUACUGCUCAUUGAGAUUUACCCAAAAAGAAAAAAGAAAAAGAAAUGAAGAUAAAAAAGGGAAAAUUGGGAUUCUUCAUUUUUAUAAUUGGUACAAAUUAAUAAAAUAUAAUUUCAUGGAUCACGAAGCGAAACAAAACCACAUAUACUUUUUUGCAUGUUGACAAUGUCAUGACCCAAAUUCCGGGCGACCCAAAAUUUGGCCAGUGAUCCUAGGUCAAAGGUUUGACCCCAAGGGUUUCUCUUAUUCCACGUUGGCAGUCAACUAAAACACUCUAAUUUUUUUUUUUUUUUUCAUAUAAGUCCCACUAGGGUUCUCACCAACUAACAAUAUUUUAAACCUUACUUAAACACAUCAAGAUUUAAUAAACAUCAUUGCAUCCCAAAAUAAAAUUUCAUAAAAAUCCCCUUAAUCAAACUAAGGUCUUAUUACAUUAUCCAUAAUUCACUUAUUACAAGGUCUCAAUACCACAACACAAUAAAAAAAAAAAACCUUUUCCACUAAACCGCUUCAGGGGCAUCCUGAAGUCCUCCCUGUCCCAUCUGUGGAUCCUUAGGAGUGAUAUCUGCAUCUAAAAAUAUAUAAAAAGAAAGGAGUGAGCAUUUCCACAUUGCUCAGUAGGGUGCCUAACACCCAAAUGGUUAAUGGAGGAUUACUAUAUUUUAAGAACCCAAAUGCAACAAUUCACCAAUAUAAAUCAAGUCACACAAUUUAACAUACAACACUAUACUUAAUUCCACAACAUCCACUCAUUAAAUGAAUACAUAUAAACGUGUGACACACAAUCAUACAAUGCACUAUCGUUCUCGGGCUUUCACCGAAAGAUACGCGUCCGCACCCAAAUAUACUCCCCAUUUGGAGUCUUCCCGGGGUAAACUUUUGGGUCUUUCACCCUAGGGAUCUCUCUCCCUUCUUAGUUCGUCUCACACGGGCUUUCACUUUUCAUCACUAUUUUAUUUUUUUCCAUUUCAUACACUUUUCACAAUUUUUUUUUUUCAUUUCUUCAUACAACCAUGAUGCAAAUGAAUGCCACAAAUUCCAAAAUUCCUUAAUAAUUUCUACAAUUCCAAUAAUUUCAACAUUCUCAAUAACCCAAUAAAAUAAAAUUUUCACAUUAAAAUUCCCGAAAAUAUACCAAAAAAUUUUCGAAAAUUCAAACAUCAAUAUACUUGAAUUUAUAUCACAAUUUCAGAAUUUUUCAAAAACUCUAAUAAUUCCCAAUAUUUGAAAAUAACUAAUUUUUCACAAUAAAAUUACCGCAAAUAUUCCAAUCAAUUUUCAAAAAUUCAUAAGUCACUAGAUUUAAAAUCUUGCCCUAAUUCCGGAAUUUUCCUACAUUUCUAGCAAUUUUUAACAACCUAAAAUAAUUAUUUAUUAAUUACAAAGAAUUCCGGAAAUUACAAAAAAAUCCAAAAAAAAUCCCAAAUCAUUCCAAAAAAUUCACACAACAUCAAAAUUACCUAAUUAACUCAUAAUUAUCAGAUUUAUAAUUUUUUUCCAAUGAAAAAUACAUUAAAUUUAAGUUUUAGGGUUAGUUUUCCCCUACCUCAUAUAUGAAAAUUUGGCCGUUAAAAACGAAAUCAGCCAUCGUAGACUUGUUCCUCUAGUCGAAUAGAGCACCUCCACCGAAUUUGGGCCGAAACAGAGGUUGUUUGCCCAUCCAAACGGCCGGUCAAAGAUCCGGCGAGUGACCAAAUUUUCUGCAGUAGCCCCCCUCUCUCUCUCUCUCUCCCCGCGUGCUGCCCAUUUUCCAAUUCUCCCCUUUUUCCUUUUUUUUUUUUAACAACAAAGACUUCCUACCACCAGCCCAUAUCUAAGCCUAAUCCAUGACAUCACCCACUUAAGCCCAACUCCAUUAUUAUUAUUAUUUUUUUUCUUUUACAACCCAUUACCUUAAACGGCCAAUAUUUAAAGCCCAAUGAAUAUUUUUAUUUUAUUUAUUUUAUUUUAUUUUCUUUUCUUUAUUCUAAUUGUUUUAUUUGAUUUCCAAUUCAUUUUUUUUUAAUUUUCCGGAAAAUUUCAAUUUCUAAAAUCCUAAGAAAUUUUCUACCCUAAGGCUGACAUGGCAUAAAAUUUCAACUCGUUUAAUUGACCGACACAAUAAAACGAAAUUCACCAAUCCGAAAUUGACACGUGUUCUCCAAAUACUUUUCUUUUUGACUUUUCAAUCAUAACACAAAAUAAGACUUUUUAAACUAAAAAUGUUAACGUGUCAUAAAAUACCCGGACAAUCUAGAACACCUAAGCAAAGAUAUAUCAUAAACAAAUUUUGGCUUUAUCAGGACUCUUAACAGCCUUCAGAUCUGAACCCAUCUUUCUCUUAUGUUUGUCAUCAACACAACCAUGGAAAUUACAUGGCUAAGCACAUCUCUAUGUCUUCUCUUUCUCUUGUUUGCUUUCAAUAUCUUCCUCCAAAGAAGAAGAAUACAUCCCCACCUCCCACCAAGCCCGCCUGCUAUUCCGAUUCUUGGUCACCUCCAUCUCCUCCUUAAACCACCAAUUCAUCGGCAAUUACAGAAUCUUUCUAAAAAAUAUGGUCCUAUCUUCUCCCUUCGCUUCGGAUCCAGUCCUGUUGUUAUCAUAUCCUCUCCGUCCACUGUUGAAGAAUGUUUCACCAAGAACGACAUCAUUUUUGCCAACCGGCCUCGCUUGCUGAUCGGCAAGUACAUAGGCUACAACUACACCACUAUUGCUUCAGCAUCAUAUGACGAACACUGGCGCAAUCUCCACCGCCUCAGCGCACUGGAAAUCUUCUCCUCAAAUCGCCUCAACAUGUUUCUAGGGAUUCGCAGGGAUGAAAUCAAGAUUUUACUACACCGAUUGUCUCAGAAGUCAAGGGACAAUUUUGCAAGGGUAGAGUUGAGACCGAUGUUUACAGAGCUAACAUGUUAUAUUCUAAUGAGAAUGGUUGCAGGAAAGAGGUACUAUGGGGAAGCUGUGGAUAGUGAGGAAGGCAAGCAUUUUCAGAAAAUAAUGAGAGGGAUUUUUGAACUGGCUGGGGCGUCAAAUCCAGGAGAUUUUUUGCCUUUACUACGGUGGGUUGAUUUUGGGGGUUAUGAGAAAAGUUGGUGAAGCUCAAUAGAGAGAAAGACGUGAUCUUCCAAGGUCUUAUUAAGGAGCAUAGAAGUCCUGACCAGGGUCUAGUGAAUAAAAACAGCAUGAUCGAUCAUCUGCUUUCACUGCAAAAAUCAGAGCCAGAAUAUUACACAGACGAAAUCAUAAAAGGGCUUGCACUGGUGAGUGAACUUCUGCGUUUUUGUCUUUCAGAAACAGGUCGCCAAAAAGAAUAAUUCUAUUUAAGCCUUGGCUUGCUGGUUCGCUUCUUAGAAAAGACACUGACCAUAAAUGAUUCAUUUGCCAUUAAGUCUGCAGGAGAUCAAGCGCUGCAUAUUCUUUUAGCGCUGCAUAUUCAGUUUUAUUUUCAUUGAUAACAAAAUUUUGCAGGUGUGAGGAAAUAAAGAGUGAAAAAGCAACAAGAAAUGAUGUCCUACUUUUCGUUUUCAAUAUUUCUCAAAUCUAUAAAUAUUGCAUUGCGCAGAUCUUAAUUUUUGCUGGUACUGACACUACUGCGACGACAAUAGAAUGGGCUAUGUCUCUUCUACUCAAUCAUCCUGAUGUUUUGAAGAAAGCUAGAGCAGAAUUGGACACUCAUGUUGGAAAAGAUCGUUUGACGGAAGAAUCAGAUUUCCCCAAAUUACAAUAUCUUCGAAGUAUCAUUUCUGAAACCUUAAGAUUGUUUCCGGCAACCCCACUUUUGAUGCCACAUAUUUCUUCAGACAAUUGCCAAAUAGGAGGAUUUGAUAUACCAAGAGGCACAAUAUUAUUGGUCAAUGCUUGGGCCAUUCACAGAGACCCUAAGUCGUGGAAAGAUCCUACAAGUUUCAAGCCAGAGAGGUUCGAAAAUGAGGAAGGUGAGGCAUACAAGCUAUUGCCAUUUGGCUUAGGAAGAAGGGCUUGCCCCGGUGCUGGCCUGGCUAAUCGAGUGAUAGGUUUGACUUUGGGGUUAUUGAUUCAGUGUUAUGAGUUGGAGAGAGCUAGCGAGAAGGAGGUUGACAUGGCUGAAGGGAAAGGAGUCACCAUGCCCAAAUUGGAGCCAUUGGAAGCCAUGUGUAAAGCUCGUGCUAUUAUCAGAAAGGUAUUAUAAAACAAUGAAGCGACAUCUGGUUGAUGUUAGCAUUAUUAAUUGUCAUAUAUUUGUGUCAUACAUUUUAUCAGUGUGCUCAUCAUAUAUAUUUGUUAUGUUAUUUUAGCUAGCCUAGUCUAAAAAUAAAAGAUUAUGAUUAUGUAAACUUUUUUUUGUUAUUUUUUUCUUAUCUAAAUGAGCAAUUUUGUUAUAUAGUUUUCAUGCCAAAAAUAUUAAACAUUCAUCAUAUACAAUAACCUAAAUUGAAUAAUUAUAGAUAUUGCAUCAAUUAGUCCCAUUACCAACUAUUUUUAAAAAAUAUGUUAAAGCUUGCAGUCCUUGCUUCUCGAAAGGCAGUUAAAUUGCCUACAAUUAUGCCAUGUUAUGCAUCCUUAGCACAUUAUGGUGACCCAAUAGGGCAAUCUCCCCCACCUUGGCUUUCUUGGAAUAUUCCCUUCAAAUUGUCUUAACAUGCUUUUGGGUUUCAACAUGCAAUGGCUUUUUCCCAAAGAGCUUUUGGAAGUGUCUUGACCUUCAACAUGCUUCUUGUCAUCUCUACUAGGGUUAUGUUCUUCCUUUUGUUUAUACCGUUUCAUUGAGGUGUAUAGUUAAUUGUUAAUUAUUGUCAAAUGCCCUGACUUUUAUAAUAAUUAUAAAAUUCAUUGAUGGUAAAUCCUCCUAUAAUUAUCAGAUUCUAAUAUCUUAAUAUUGCAACUAUUCUGUCUUUCAACAAGAAUUUUGAAAUCUUUAAGCUUGCUAAAAACCUUAUAUUUUUCUUUUAACAAAUAAAUCCAAGUUUUUUCUUAUAAAAUCAUCUGUAAAGGUCAAUAUAUAUUUGUUAUAAUUAAGAGAUUUUAUCUCAUCAAAUCAUAUACACACGCACCAAAUCUAAAGGUUUAACUCUUUUGGAUAUUCUAAUUGAAAAAUGAUUCCUAUGUUGUUUCCUAAGUAGACAUUCUUCACAAACAUGAUAUGGAUCAUCAAUUAGUGAUAAUCCUAUCACCAUAUUCAUAUGCACCAAGAGCUUCAACCCAUGAAAAUUGAGAUGACAAAAGGGAAGAUGUCAAAGCCAAUUGCAAUCUUCUACAAUUGCCUUCAAAUAAAAUGAAGUUUUGGUUGAAAAAACAUAGGAAAUAUCAUAUUUUUUUGUCAUCUACACAUUUGAAAUCAUCUUCUUAUUUUUAUCAUUAAGAGUACAAACUCUACUAAAAAUACUAAUGAUAUGUUUUUUUUUGUUAAUUGUCCCAUGCUAAACAAAUUAAAAAAAAAUCUAAUACAAAAAAUAGAUCUACUAUGGUAACAUUAGUGACAUAUUUAAAUGUAUUUUAAUAUUAUCUUUGCCCAUGAUUGAGACUUUAAAUUUACUUCCAAAAUUAACUUUUCAUUUAACUGAUUCAUCAAAUUGCAAAAACAAUUUUUUCUUAUCACACGUGUGAUUGUUCCGUUUUGUAUCAAAGAACCAAACAUCUUUAUGGUUUAUGUUAGAUGUUGUUACAUUAUAGACCAAUAUCAAAUUCUACUCAACCUCAAUGGUGUUUGUCGACUCUAUUUGUUCAUUCUAUAAUUUCAUUCGACAUUUUGAAUUGUAGUGUCCAUACCACUUACAUCUAAAACAUUAUAAGUGUGACUUGUCUUUAGAUCCAAGAAUGUUGACCAUUCCUCUAGAAUAAUUUUUAUUAUAUCCCCAUCUCUAUGAUUGGAGUUGUUGUGUCCUCCUCUACAUCCAUAACCUUGACCUUUGCUACUUUAUUGAUCAUCGUGACCUCUUGUAGACGUUUUACUUUUCAAGACCUACUCCAAACUAGUAGAGUCAAUUAUUUUAUUCAUCCAUUAUUCACGUGAAUACUUACGCUCAUCAACCCUUCAAUUGUGAAAGUGAAGAUAUUUCUUCUUUCUUCAUUUAAUUACAACAACAUAUUCAAAUUUUGCAUGUAAAGAUCGUAUGUAUGACUUUCUCUUAUAUUUUUUUUAAUCAUCAAGCCUUUCACCAUUAACCCACAUCUAGUUUAUAAGUACCCAAUCAAAAUAAUGUGAGAUCAAUUUAGAGUCAUUAAUCAUACGGAGAGACUUGAAUUCACAUCUUAAUGUUCGUAGCGCCAUUCACUUGACAUGAUCAUUACAUUAAUUUAUAUAAUUUGUGUAGAUUAAUUUAUACCUUUAUUUAUUUUUAUGCUUCUACUUUUGAAAUUUUCUCAAGUAUGGAUUCAUUUUCUGCUUAGAAUAUUGCAUAGAGUGCUUAUAUAUAUAUAUAAGAAUAUUUCAAUAAGUCUUUUUACUCCUUUGAUAGUGUCUCAAAUUCUUUUGAAUCAACCACUUUGUUAUAGUCAUGAUCUAUUAAACGCUAUAAAUCUUAAGAUCUAAAUAAGACAUACAUUUAAUCCACUAGUUACUAAAAUUCUUACUUGUGAAUUUUAAGAGUUGAGGUUGAAUUAAUUUGUAAUUAUUUACCGUCAUAAUAUCGCUGACCAAAUUGUAACUUUCUUGUUAUCUAUUUUGCAUAUUCUUAGGUAUUAUGGUACUUAUCUUCUCGUUUUUCACCCUCCGUAAUCUUUUGGCUUUGAUAUGAACAAUACUCUUAUUCUUAUACCACUUGUUGGUAGCUCUACUCUUCUAGCUUUUCACCUUUCUUGAUCUUUUAUUGUUUUUACAUUUUUUUCAACAUAAUAAACUAAUCAUAUUUACACUAUACUUCCAAUUUAUAAUUAAAAGAAAAAGGUUUGAGAGUUGAAUAGCUAUGUAUCCAUGUAAACUUUGUUUCAACGUAAUUAAUAAAUAAGAGUUAAUAUGAUUCAAACUAUCAUUAUAACUCAAAGUGAAAAGAAAAGAAAAAAUAGCUUCAAGCCAAGAUAAUAAGAUAAUGAAAUUGAGAUAAAUACCAAUAUUUAUUAUAAAUGAAAAAAUAAUGAUCUAAGAAAGUCUCUUGCAUCCAUAAUAAUUACAAAAAAAAAAAAAGGUUAGGGACACUAAAUAGCUUUGUAUCCACAUAGCUUCUUAUAGGACAAAAUUAAUUAAUAAAUAAGGAGAUAGAGUGUAUUUGAUAAUGAUUUUAGAAAAUAUUUUUUAGUCUUUUUCAUACUUGAAAUAUUUAUUUUUCAAGAAUUAGAAAUGGUAAAAAUAUUUUUCAAAAUUACGUACUAUCAAACACAGUGUUAAUUUCAUUCAAAUUAUCACUAUAAACAUGAUUAGUAUUACAUAUGUACUUAGAAAACCUCCUAUCUGUCCAUAGAAAUGUUAGUUUCACUUUCAACUUCCUCACAACAAAGUUACAUGAUCAUCAGACUUGGCUAAGUAUUGGUAAAAGAAAAAUGUACAUUCAAAAAAUAAAAAAUUAAACCCAACUUUUAAUUUUGUAUGGUUUUGGCAGUAUCAUGCCAAGUCAAAAUAAACGGAUAAAAAUUGUAAUAUUUAUGCCAAAAAAAUAACAAGCAUUGUUGAUUUGGUCAUUUUUGUUAGCUCUUCAUUCAUCAACCUUUAAUUCAACAAUAUAUGUUUUAGUCUAGAAAAAAAUGCCAAUAAUUAUAAUAGAAUAUUAUAAUUCUACAUCGUACAUGUUCACAAGUGGAAUUCAAUUUAACUUUAAUCUUGCAUACUCUUAUAGGUAAUUAUGUAAAAAUGUUAUGGUAUCUUAUUUCUUAGUCUAUGUUUGGUUUCCAUAAAUAAUGAGGAAAAAAAAUGUUAAAGUUGGUUUUAAUAUAAAAAGAUACAAAAUAAAAUCAAAUAUAAUGAAAAUUAACUACAAAUUUAUAUAUUUUAAAAUUAUUUAAUUUGUAUAUAUUAAAAAAAAUAAAUGAAAUGAGUUUGAAGAACCAUAUGAAAAUAAUUUAUUAAUUUCAAAUUUUCUUUUUCUCAAAUUUUCUUUCAUUCCAUUUUCCUUCCUAUUUUCUUUCUUUCACAUUUUUCCUUAAAUUUCCCGAGAACCAAACAUAGUCUUAUAUAAAUUAAGGACUGUUUGGUAAUUGUUUUCGAAAAUAAUUUUCUAUUCUAAAAAUUAAAACCAAGAAAACAUGUUUAGCAAUUAGAAACUGUUUACUGUUCUUAAAAACAGAAAACAAGGUAUUUUAAGAUAACAAUUUUUAGUUGUUUUAUGUUAUUUUCACUUGUUUUCUAAGGGUUAUUUUAAAAAAGAAUUAUACAAUUAUGUAAAAUGAUUAAAAAUAAAACAUUGGAUAAACAUAUUAAAAAUAAGUUAAAAACAUUUCAGGUUUCUAAACGUACUUUUGUUUUACACAAUAUUAGAUGACAGUUUUUAAAAAUUAUUUUCAAAAAUUGUUUUUUAUAACUAUUUUAGAAAAUAAUUGCCAAACACGACUGAGUAAUCUUAUGGAUAAUUGACCAAAAUAACAGAUAAACUAAAUAGGAUGAGGGAAUAAAUAGUAUCAUGACCUCGUAAAUCUGAUAGCAUGAGCUAUCAAUUGACUUGAGAACUUAAAUUGUGUAGGAAUGGGGCCAUAAUUUAUACCUCUAUAACAACCACUAGCCUGCAAACUUAUUUUCGUGUCUGUUUUCUACCUAAUAAUUAAUAGAUGAAGAAGGAAACACAAAUCAAUGGAGAAGGAUGCUUAAUCCAACUUGAUCAGCAUCCAUUAACAAAUAAUUUUCUACUAACAUUGGCUGUGUCAUCAGCAACCUAAAAGUUAAAAUAAAGGAAUAAAACAAUGAUAUUUGGGUCAUUAAUUGACCUAUUUUCCGAUAUAAUAUAAUGAUGAUCUUCUCCCUCCGCUUCGGAUCUCGUCUUCUUGUUAUCAUAUCCUCUCCAUGCACGGUUGAAGAAUGUUUCACUAAGAACGACAUCAUUUUUGCCAACCGGCCCAUCUUUUUGUUUGGCAAGUACAUAGGCUACAACAACACCAUCGUUACUUCAGCACCGUAUGGCGAACACUGGCGCAAUCUCCGCCGCCUAAGCGCACUGGAAAUCUUCUCUCCAAAUCGCCUCAACAUGUUUAUAGGCACCCGCAGGGAUGAAAUCAAGAUUUUACUACACCGAUUGUCUCAGAAUUCACGGGAUAAUUUUGCAAGGGUAGAGUUGAGACUAAUGUUUACAGAGCUAACAUGUAAUAUUAUAAUGAGAAUGGUUGCAGGAAAGCGGUACUAUGGGGAAGAUGUGGAUUUUGAGGAAGCCAAGCACUUUCAUGAAGUAAUGAGAGGGGUUUUUGAAUUGGCUGGGUAUCCAAUCCAGGAGAGUUUUUUCCUUUACUACGGUGGGUUGACUUUGGGGGUUAGGAGAAGAAGUUGGUGAAGAUCAAAACAAAGAAAGAGGUGAUCUUCCGAGGUCUUAUUGAUGAGCAUCGAAGUCCUAGCCGGGCCCUUGUGAAUAAAAACAGUAUGAUCAAUCAUCUGCUUUCAAUGCAAAAAUCAGAACCAGAAUAUUACACAGAUGAAAUCAUAAAAGGGCAUUCAUUGGUAACUUCAGUAUUGCAGGCAAACUGAUUCUCUUUAAGAUAUACCACUUUUGCCAAAAGAAUAAUGCUAUUCAAACCUAAAUUGGCCAGUUUGCUUCUUAGAAAAAACACUGAUCAGCAUAAAUGGUUCUAUUUUUGUUAAAAAAAAUUAGGUCAUAUGCGCGCCAUUAAGCGUGCAGGAGAGGCAAGCCAACAAAAGUUGGGAAAUCAAGCAAUUUUUUUUCUACGAGUCAAAGGAAUGGCCCCCUGGCCUCUGAUUUCCAUAUAAAGGACAAAGACAUAAAUAUCCUCUUUAACUGCUAUUAUGAUGGACUGAAUAUCUUUCAUAAGUAAUCGGAGGAAGAUCCGACGAUUUUUUCCAGAAAAUCCCCAACGAAAAAUACACACUAUUCCUUCUUUUCUAUCGAAUCGAUCAUAACCACUACCUACAUUCCACGAAAUUGUGCACCACAAAUAGGAGCUAAUAAAGAGACCGACAAUCCCGUAGAAAGACAUCACGAUCCCUUGUGGAAAAAAAAUUAUUUGCUGAGACGGAAAUAAAGAUAUCAAAUUCCUACCAAAAUAACUGGAAGUUCCAACCAAUAAGAACCCUAAUGAACCUAAAAAAAGGAUAAAGGCCCAACAAAAAUUACUUAUUUUUCGAGACCUCGUUAUAAGUUCUAUCCACUCUACUAGGUGUUCUGCCAGUGGCUUCUGGGGGUAUUCACGUUUGGCAUAUGCCUGCUCUGACCGAGAUCUUUGGAGAUGAUUCCAUACUACAGUUCGGUGGAGGAACUUUAGGACACCCUUGGGGAAAUGCACCGGGUGCCGUAGCUAAUCAAGUAGCUCUUGAAGCAUGUGUACAAGCUCGUAAUGAGGGACGUGAUCUUGCUCAUGAGGGUAAUGAAAUUAUCCAUGCAGCUAGCAAAUGGAGUCCUGAACUAGCUGCUGCUUGUGAAGUAAUUAAGGAAGGAAAUCUAAUUUGAAUUCCCAGCAAUGGAUACUUUGUAAUCCAGUAAUUAUUGUUCGUUUCCUAAAUUGAAUUGCAAUUAAACUCGGCCCAAUCUUUUACUAAAAAAAAAGGAUUGACCCGAAUACAAAAAGACUAUUGUAUGUAUAUAUUUUGGAUAGAUACAUACUUAUCUAGAUAUACAAUACAAAAUCUAAGACUAAACAACUCAAAUUUUCUAUUGUUGUGUUAGAUCCACAAUUAAUCCUAUGGAUCCUUAGGAUUGGCGUAUUCUUUUAUAUCUUGUAGUUUCUGUUUGAAAUGGAAAUCUAUAUGUAUGUAGAUAUCUAUAGGGGAUCAUAUGAGGGGGAUGUUAUUAUUUUAGAUUUAACCAAUUCGAUGAAUUACGCCUAAAGGUUCACAUCAGAAUAGUGCUAGUUGAUGAGAGUUACUUCGUAAACAAAAAGAGUAAAGUAAAAUGUAUUCCUAUAUGGGUUAUUCUCNNNNNNNNNNNNNNNNNNNNNNNNNNNNNNNNNNNNNNNNNNNNNNNNNNNNNNNNNNNNNNNNNNNNNNNNNNNNNNNNNNNNNNNNNNNNNNNNNNNNUGAAUUAAUUAAGGAAGGAAAUCUAAUUUGAAUUCCCAGCAAUGGAUACUUUGUAAUCCAGUAAUUAUUGUUCGUUUCCUAAAUUGAAUUGCAAUUAAACUCGGCCCAAUCUUUUACUAAAAAAAAAGGAUUGACCCGAAUACAAAAAGACUAUUGUAUGUAUAUAUUUUGGAUAGAUACAUACUUAUCUAGAUAUACAAUACAAAAUCUAAGACUAAACAACUCAAAUUUUCUAUUGUUGUGUUAGAUCCACAAUUAAUCCUAUGGAUCCUUAGGAUUGGCGUAUUCUUUUAUAUCUUGUAGUUUCUGUUUGAAAUGGAAAUCUAUAUGUAUGUAGAUAUCUAUAGGGGAUCAUAUGAGGGGGAUGUUAUUAUUUUAGAUUUAACCAAUUCGAUGAAUUACGCCUAAAGGUUCACAUCAGAAUAGUGCUAGUUGAUGAGAGUUACUUCGUAAACAAAAAGAGUAAAGUAAAAUGUAUUCCUAUAUGGGUUAUUCUCUCAAUUACAAUAAAAUACAACUGGAUCUAGUAUGAGUUGGCGAUCAGAACGUAUAUGGAUAGAAUGCUGCAUAUUAAUGGUAUAUCAAACGCAACUAGUAUUUGGAGUAUGAAAUUUCCAAUUUUUUUUUUUUUGUUUUUUGAGUAUUUAUAUUAAUGUUGGUGUCACAUGUGGUUUAAUUUUUCUCAAAGCUACAAAUAUUGUAUGCAGAUCUUAAUUCUUGUUGGUACUGAGAUUACUGCAACAACAAUAGAAUGGGCCAUGUCUCUUCUACUCAAUCAUCCUGAUGUUAUGAAGAAAACUAGAGUAGUAGAAUUGGACACUCAUGACAGAAAAGACUGUUUGAUGGAAGAAUCCGAUUUCCCCAAAUUACAAUAUCUUCAAAGUAUCAUUUCUGAAACUUUAAGAUUAUUUCCAGCAGCCCCAGUUUUGGUACCACAUAUGUCUUCAGAUAAUUGCCAAAUAGGAGGAUUUAAACAAGCAAGGCAUUAUCAACAAGCAAGGCAGAAGGUGAAGAAGAAACCCAACUCCCCAACUCCAUCAUUUUUGUCAAGAUGAUCACCACAUCAAAGCUUCUCCUUCAGCAGUUGGCCUCUUAAGUAGCCAACUUGCCACAACAUCAUUAAAGAAGAGGGCUAAUCUAUUAAUCAAUUCAAAUCAAAACAUUGGUUUGCCUUUUCAAAAUUAAAUAGAGUGAUUGUAUAUGCAUUCAUUCUCCAAAUUCCUUUGACUUCCCUUGUUGGAUAAAUUUUGUGAUAGCUUCUAUCAAAAAAUAAGACUAAUUAUAAUAGAUUAUAUGCAUAAUUUAAUUUCAUUACUUGCGUCUAAUUUAUAUUUUAGUCCGUUCUUUUGCAUGUGGUAUCAUUUAUUUUUAUAAGAUUUGUUGCUAGAUUUUAUUUAUUUUGGCAUAUGAAAAUUGUAUAAAGCUUGUAUAAUGAUCGAAUGAAUGACACUUGGCAUUCCACCGAAAACCUUGCCUAAUUAUUCAAUGAAUGAUAUUUGGCAUUCGGCCGCAACGUUCCCGAACCCUGUUAGGCAAGACGCGUGACAAGGAAUAACAACUGCCAUCCUUUACAUCUAAUCUCCUUCAUUGGAUUUCCAUAAAUAUUUUUGUCAUUGGCACAGUUAAAGAUGGAUACGAUCACGAGGAAAACAAUUUAAAAUGUUCAAGUAAAGUAGCUUUUGAAUAUAAGCUUGCGUGAGAAAAAAAAAUUAAGGUGGUUGUUUCCACUACGUACUCCAGUGCUUACCUUCAAUAGUCAACAUUAAGUUAAGUUUGAAUAGCAUAUGCAUAGAACCCAUCUUUCUCUUGAUCAAUAUGUCAUCAACAAAACCAUGGAAGCUACAUGGCUAAGUACAUCUCUAUCUCUUCUCUUUCUCUUGUUUGCUUUCAGUGUCUUCCUCCACAAAGAAGAACACAUCCCCGCCUCCCACCAAGCCCGCCUGCUAUUCCAAUUCUUAGUCAUCUCCAUCUCCUCUUGAAACAACCAAUUCAUCGGCAUCUACAGACUCUUUCUCAAAAAUAUGGUCCUAUCUUCUCCCUCCGUUUCGGAUCCCGUCUUCUUGUUAUCAUAUCCUCUCCAUCCACUGUUGAAGAAUGUUUCACCAAGAGCGACAUCAUUUUUGCCAACCGCCCUUGCUUCUUGUUCGGCAAGACUACAACUACACUACCAUUGCUUCAGCACCAUAUGGUGAACACUGGAGCAAUCUCCGCCGCCGCCUCAGCACACUGGAAAUCUUCUCCACAAAUCGCCUUAACAUGUUUCUGGGUAUCCGCUGGGAUGAAAUCAAGCUUCUAUUGCGCCAAUUGUCUCUGAAUUCAAGGGAUCAUUUUGCAAGGGUAGAGUUGAGACCAAUGUUUAUAGAGCUAACAUGUAAUAUUAUAAUGCGAAUGGUUGCAGGAAAUCGGUAUUAUGGGGAAGCAGUGGAUUUCGAGGAAGCCAAACUUUUUCGGGAAGUAAUGAGAGGGAUUUUCGAAUUGGCUGGAACACUGGCGCACCCUCCUCCGCCUCGUCAGCACACUUGAAGUAUUCUCUUCCAAUCACCUUCGCAUGUUCUAAGGCAACCGUAACGAUGAAAUCAGUCAUUUAUUCAUCGUUUGUCUUGGGAUUCCAGGGGUAAUUUUGUGAAGGUAGAGUUGCUGCUAAUAUUUAAUAUUAUAAUGAGGAUGAUUGCAGGAAAGCGCUACUAUGGUGAAGACCUGCACGUUGAGGAGGCGAGGCAUUUCCAAGAUAUUAUAGGGAAGAUCUUUGAAUUGGGCGCAACAUCAAAUCCAAUAGAUUUUUUUGCCUCUGUUGCGAUGGAUAGAUUAUGGAGGUUAUGAGAGGAAGAUGCAUGGCAAAUAGUAUAGUGUUAGAUGCGAUCUUGCAAGGUUUUGAUUAAUGAGCAUACAAUAAAAAUGGUUUAGUGGGUAAUAAUACUAUGAUCGACCAUCUAUUAUCAUUGCAAAAAUCAGAACUAGAAUACUACACAGAUGACAUCAUUAAAGCUUGUGGAAUGACCUCGAAAGUUUUAAGCUGUAGAGGUUUGAGAAUAGGGAAAGAGAUACAUCCAAACUACUGCUCUUUGGAGUGGGAAGGAGGGCGUGUCCUGGGAUUGACCUACCAAACCAUAGUGUGGAUUUGGCUGUGGGGUCAUUAAUUCCAGAGUUUUAUGUGCAAGAAAAUAGACUAUAGGAAAAUUACAUAUAAUAAUGAUGAGAUAUGAGAACAUGUAAUAGAAAUGAUAAUACUAUUUUAAGAAAAUAAAAGUGGACAAAUACUUGGUAUUUCUGUAUAUAAUAUGAAUUAUAAUAAUUUUUACAAAAAGUGGUUGUUAUUGGAAAAAACAAAUAUCAUUUGAAUUAAUUAUAUAUAAUAAUGAUAAAAUAUAAACACAUAUAAUAGAAAUGAUAAUACUAUUUUAGGAAAAAAAGUGGACAAACACUUCGUAUUUUUAUAUAUAAGAUAGAUUAAAAUAAUUUUUAUAAAGCAUAGGUUGUCAUUGGAAAAAACAAACACCAUUUGAAUUAAUUAGAUAUAAUAAUGAGAGGAUAUAAUCACAUAUAAUAGAAAUAAUAAGACUAUUUUUGGAAGAAAAAAUUGUCAAAACACCUCUUAAUAUAUAUCUUAAUAUAUAUAUAUAUAUAUAUACACGCGUGAUAUAGAGCAUACAUGGUACAUCAUGUAUUGUUUCUAUUUCUAAAGAUUGUCCUCAGACUGCUGAAGCCUACCUGCAUCAGUAAAAAUUGAAUAGCAUAUACUCAAUAUAUUAAGAGAGUCUCAUAGUAAUCUUAAUGUAAACCUGAUGUGAGCUACUUCAAAACAUGCAUAUGACUAUUUCUACCUACAAAAUAGAGGAUUGUGGUUUACAUAUGUUACAGUUUUAGCGAAGGGAUGGAGCAAGAUUGAACAAGAAUGACAGAAGUUGUAAAAGAAACUCAACACUACCAUUCUCGUUAAGACUAUUAUAUCAACCAUUCUUACUAUAUGAGUUCUUUUUCAGCAUUUGGCCUUCCAUGCAACCAACUCGCAACACUUUGGUUUGAGGAGAGGCCUUCCUCACACCAUCAUAAAAAAAGAGGCCGCCUCCAUUGCCUCAUUGAUGGUGGCGGCGCUUCAAACUUAGACUUUCAAGGAUACAAUUGACUAUUUGAAACAAUGUUAUGGGUUGUCAUUGUGGUCUGAAUCAUUGAUUUAGUGGUGUAUACAUAUAAAAAGAGAGAGAUAAGGCAAAACUAACAAUGGGUUUGGGAUUGAUUUUGAGAGAGUUAAAAGUAGUCACUAUACUUGGAAACGCAUCCUAUACAAAAUUAGGUAUUUGAUAAACUUUUCAAAUUCUCUUUUAACAGUCUAAAAAAUUACUUGAGUUGAUUAAAGGAAAAUAACUUGAUGCAUGAUUUUUCGAAAAUACUUUUAUAAAAUAUUGUAGAUAAAAGUGCUUUAAUCGAAAUCAUUUCUAAAUGUACUUUAAAUUUCAUAUUUUCAAACUUUCCUAACCUUUCUUUAACCAAAACUCAUUUAAGCUUUGUCUAUAUGUUUUGACUCUUCACUCAUUUUUUUAUUGUCUAAAAAUAUUAUGUAAAAUAACAUGGUCAAACAUGAAUCUUAUUAUUAAUAAUUUUUUUAAAAAAUAAAAAGUAAAUAAAAAAUAAUAUGAGCAAGUUUUUUCUACUCAACCGUACAAAUGUCUUAAAGAAGGGUUAAAAAUAGAGUAAUCAUGUAGGAAAUUAUUACUUGAGAAAAGAAUCCACUAAGGUUAUUUGGGUAAGAGGUUGAAAUAACAACUCUAUUUGUAUAAAUAACUCAUUAAAAAAAAAAAAACAUAAAACACAACCUUAUAGAAAAAAAUACCCUUCUGUUUUUUUAUUUUUCUCCAACAUAAGGAUUUCUCACUAUUUUCAUCUUACCUUUUUUUUCUUUUCUUUAUUCCUUACAAUAAAAAAAUGUUAAAGUUCUCUCAUCCCCUCUUUAUUAAUGGUCAUGAAAAUGAAUUAAGAUAUAUAAAUGACCAAUAUUAUUUUUUCUUCUUAUUUUUUUCUUUUGAUGACAAAGAUUUCUAAAACCCUUACUUUACUAUUACCAAACCAAACAAAAAACUCUCUACUAUUAAAUAUAAAAUAGUAUUAAGAGCCAAUAUAACAAAGGUCAAAUGAUGGCAUACAAUGAAUCUCAUAUGAUGGCAUACAAUGAAUCUCAAAUAUUUAAAACUAUAUUGAUUUCAACAUUGUUGGUCGAUUCUAACUCAAAAUAUUCACUUGAACUUUAUUGCAGUUGGGUUUUAUUUAUAAAGAACUUAAUUGGAGUAAAGUUCUUGAUUAGAAUAUUCACUUGGCCAACUAUAGUCAAGUCAUUUUGAAUAGCUAACUAACAUGAUAUAUAGUAAUGAGACAUUAACUCAUUCUAAUGUUUUAAAAAUGAUACCAAAUUAGUUUAUGAGACUAUAAGGUUGGUUCCUUUGUAAUAUCAAUUUAUAAUAUUAAAUGUGAGGAAAUAAAAUAUAAAAUAAAUUAAAAGGUUGAUAGAAUAAGAUAUAUUUAACUCAAAUAAAUUUUCAAUAUUUUUUAUUUUAUGUAGCUAUUUUUCAAUUAAUUUCCAAUAAAUAACGAAAACAAUUAAAAUCCCUUAUUAGAAAAUAGUAUGAUUCUUAAGAAGACAAUUUAUUAUUAGACAAUUAAAAGAUUAUUCAACGUGUUUGGACUUUGGAUUUUGUGAGCGUGGAAAGGUUUUUAUUAUUAAGAAUUACAAGAAGUUUUUAAUUCUUCCACAUUUCGCGUCGUGCCUGACAUCAUUCGUAGGUCAACCUCAUGCAUGACAUCAUUUUUUUUGGACCCCUUCUCCAAUCGUAGUAGCUGUUUUUUCUUUCCUUUCAUAAUUUCAUUCGUGGACAAUUGAGGCAGGCAGAAAGGGAGGAUGGAGUCAAAGAAGUCGGAUGAGAGAUAGUGGGUGGUUUUUGUACUUUUUUGGUACUAUAAUUUGCUUUAAGGUUAAAUACAACUUAAGCUCAUUAAUUAAUCAUUAUAAAUAUUUUAUUGUUUUAAAAUUUAAACACUGAGCUUGUUUUUAUUUAUUUAUUUAUUGAUAUUUCAAAAUAUUAUUACACACUAAAUAAAUCAGCUUUAUUUUUGUAAAAAUAUUAAUUAUUUAUUUUUCUUGUUUUAUAUAAUUAAGAUAAAGAUAUUUGAAAUAAAAAAUAAGUAAUUUAACAUACUUUUAAAUAUCCUAAAAUAUCAGAUCACAUUAUAAUAACAAAAAAUUUAAUGAUAUAAAAUAAUUAGCAAUUAUAUAGUAAUUAAAGUUUUAAAUUAUAUUUGGUUGCUAAGAAAUGUUAGAAAUAUUUUAUGUAAAGUUUUAUGAAAUACUUAUGGGUUGUAUGUGACACAUAUUUGGAUGUAUUGAUUAUUUAUUUAAAUGGUUAAUUUAUUAUUUUUAAAAUUUUCUAUUAUAGUAAUUAACAACAUCAAAUCAUAAAUUUUUAUUUUUAAUAUUAAUUUAAAAAAUUUAUUUGAGUGAAUAUUUACAUAAAUGUGAAUUGGGUUUUGGAGUUAUAAUUAGAGAAAAUAUAUUUGAAUUAAUGUAGAUAAUUCAAAUAUUAUUAAGGUAAGCAAUGAAAUCAUUAAAAUUGAAACAUGAUCAGGUAAAAAACUUUGUCCUCUUCCUUGUUGAUCAUUCUAUAAAUAAAGCAUAAAUAACCAGGGAAUGCACUUGUAUCUAAGCCUACCUUUCCUUUCACUUCUUCAGUGUCACUCCCAUGGAUGUGUCUUCCCUUCACACAUCGCUCUCUCUUCUCUUCGUGUUUCUCUUGCUUGCUUUCGGAAUCUUCUUCCCAAGAAGACGAAGAUAUGGGAAUCUCCCACCCAGCCCGCCUGCAGUUCCGAUUAUAGGUCAUCUCCACCUCCUCAAACAACCGGUUCAUCGAUCUCUACAACUCCUUUCACAAAAGUACGGUCCAAUCUUCUCCCUCCGAUUAGGAUCCCAGCUCGCGGUCAUCGUUUCCUCUCCCUCCGCCGUCGAAGAAUGCUUCACCAAGAACGACGUCGUCUUGGCCAACCGCCCUCGCUUUGCGUCCGGCAAGUACGUGGGGUACAACUACACCACCAUUGGCGCGGCAUCAUACGGCGACCACUGGCGCAACCUCCGUCGCCUCAGCGCCCUGGAAAUCUUCUCCUCCAAUCGCCUCAACAUGUUUCUAGGCAUCCGCAGGGAUGAAGUCAAGCGUCUACUCCUCCGACUGGCUCGAGAUUCGAGGGAGGGUUUUGCAAAGGUAGAGAUGAGACCCAUGCUUACAGAGCUAACCUUUAAUAUUAUAACGAGGAUGGUUGCAGGAAAGAGAUACUACGGAGAAGACGUGGAAUAUACGGAGGCUAAACGUUUUCGGGAGAUUAUCAGCCAGCUUUUCAUACUGGGCGGGGCAUCAUCAAAUCCAGCAGAUUUUUUGCCCAUAUUGCGAUGGAUUGGGCUCGGAUAUCAUGAGAAGAAGCUAAAGAAGAUCGUGAGAGAGACAAGGGCGAUCUUGCAGGGUUUGAUUGAUGAGCAUAGAAGUGGUAAUGACAAGGGUUCGGUGGAUAAUAAUUCUAUGAUCGACCAUCUGUUAUCCUUGCAAAAAACAGAACCAGAGUACUACACAGAUGACAUUAUUAAAGGGCUUGUACAGGUGAGUGACGCGCUGUUUUCGUAUCUGCUGUAUUUUCAAAGUUUAUUCUAAAAUUUCACAGAAAACAAAAAUAAAAGUGCAGUUUAAUACUUGUAGUGGGAAACUUGGUUUUUGAAGUGUAUAAUGUUGGUUUUUUGCGGGUUUUUUUUACUUCUUUUUUCAUCUCACAAAUUCUUCAAUACAGGUCUUAAUUCUUGCUGGAACCGACACUUCAGCAGCAACAAUGGAAUGGGCAAUGACCCUUCUCCUCAAUCAUCCGGAUGUUUUGGAGAAAGCUAAAGCAGAGUUGGAUAUGCACGUUGGAAAGGACCGCUUGAUAGAAGAAUCUGAUCUUCCCAAACUGCGGUACCUUCGAAGUAUCAUUUCUGAGACUUUGAGAGUAUUUCCUGUGGCCCCUCUGUUACUGCCCCAUAUGUCCUCAGAUGACUGUCAAAUAGGGGGUUUUGAUAUACCACGAGGCACAUUAUUACUGGUAAAUGUAUGGGCCCUUCACAGAGACCCUCAGGUGUGGGAAGAUCCUACAAGUUUCAAACCUGAAAGGUUUGAAAAUGGAGAACGUGAGAAUUACAAACUAGUACCAUUUGGAAUAGGAAGAAGAGCCUGUCCUGGAGCUGGCCUAGCUCAGCGAGUGGUGGGUUUGGCUUUGGGGUCGUUGAUUCAGUGCUAUGACUGGAAGAAGAUUAGCAACACCGCUA